This 73215-nucleotide long non-coding RNA is filed under the name Vitis vinifera (wine grape). RNAcentral describes it as "long non-coding RNA (VVIN_LNC006026)". Lineage: Eukaryota; Viridiplantae; Streptophyta; Magnoliopsida; Vitales; Vitaceae. The record is from RNAcentral.
UAAAUAAGAAAUUUGACUUUGUAAGUGACGGUAAAUUUAUGAAACCACAAGCAGCAAAGCUGUACCUGUAUCCGAAGAUAGCUUUUUUCCGAGUGAAGGGCUUGAAAAAGCUCUGAAAGGUGUAAGUCGAUCAUAUCUCCGCUUGCUUGGGUAAACACUUUCACUAAGGGGGUGGAACCACCACUGGUCAACCACCCCAACACACCCCACUUGGCUGCUUCAUCAGCAUUGUAUUUUUCUUCGGCUUUUGAUGACCCAGUUCCCAAGGAUAUUACUAGAAACCGGCCAUAGUCCAUUGGCUUUAUAGGAAAGAAAUCAGGACUACCCCGGAUGAUCUCCUUGGUCACUUCCCCAAUAGCAACCAAAGUCUGAAACAAGAAUCAAUAAUUAAUUGAAUUGUGAAAAGAAAAAUAAAACUGGGAAGUCUAAGAUGCAACUUCAAAGUUAAUGAGUACCGGAUUAUUUGCAGCUACACCACCAUCAAUGAGGUUGAAUUCUCUAACUCUCCCGGCAGGGUCUUUGGUUUCGAAAUAAUGAGCUGGAAGAUAAGUGGGUGCUGCUGAGGUUCCAAUACAUAUAUCUGACAGUAAGGCAUCUAAGCUUGGUCUGCUCUUCACCUAGAGCAGGGAAAUCAAGCAUAUAGUAUUAAUAUGAAAGUUAUUAUAGCUCCCGUCAUUCAUUACAAUCUCUUAAUUUUCAUAGUUUGGAUUAGAAGGAAAUGAAAUUGUGGAAAGAAGAUGAACCUGAUAAGUCGAAAAUAUUGUUGGCUGAAGGCGCUUGAUGUCAAAUGUUGGGAUAACAACAUUAGUAAGGGUCUGGUGUAAUCGUGUUUCACCUAGUUUUUCUUUAACAAGGUUGUGCAGAUACUUCCCAUCAUAUUUUGGUCCUGAUAAGGCUGUAACUACCUUUGUAACAUGAGGAAUUGGAUCAUGACUGCAUUUAAAAGAAAGAUCAUGUUAAUAACUACAAAAAAUAUUGAAGUCUAGUUAAUUUUAUAUACAUAAAUACUAGCAUCCUGUCAUCUUAAUCAAGAUGUUCAUCAUGAUAUAUUUGUUACCUGUGCUGUGGGAAGAUCUUAGGGCAGUGAUCAAGGUAGAAGUCCUUGAUAUCUUUGGCAGAAAACAAGGGUCGGCCAGUGUUUUCAUUGGGAGUAGUUAGCAUGGCAGUCACGAGGCCACCGGUGCUUGUUCCUGCAAUCACAUCAAAAUAAUCUGAAAUUCUCGCAUCUUCACCAUCCAGCUUCUGCACCAUGGCCAAACAAUCUAGUGUUAGUACGUAUAAAAUAUAUCCAAUAUAGGAUAUAGGUUUCAGAUUAGGAAUAUGCUAAUUUUAAAAGGCAAAUGGAAAAGCCAUAUUUUGUUAUUAUCAUGUAAAACCUUAUAUUUCCUACCUGAAGCUCAGACUCCAGGAAGCCAAGGACUGUUCCUGGGAUAAGCCCUCUUAUUCCACCUCCAUCGAUGCUGAGAAUGGUGAUUAGAUUUCCAUAAGUUGGAGGCUGUAGGGGUGAUUUUGGACCUUCUCCCAUUAGGGAUGGAGUGAUGGAGGUAUGAACUUGAGUGAUAGAGGAGAGAAAUGAGAGACUUGUUAUUUCAAGAGACUUAGAAUAGAAUUGAAGUUUCUGCAGGAGACUUAGAAAUGUAGAGAGACUUGGAGUUCUCUUUGAUAACUAGACAGGAGUAUUUAUAGACUCCUUAGCAUAUAUCCCUCAUUUUUCUUGCUCAUACUUUUCUAAAUGGACCUGGUUCAAGUUGGACCGCGGAUUCAUCAUUUGGGAUAAGUUGAAAAGUCCACAAGCAACCAGUAUCUUCUUGUUUUAUAGAAGCUAGCCAAAUGGUCAUAGACAUGACUCCUGGCAACUGUAGGUAAGACCAAAGAGAAUAGCUGGUAAGAAGGAUUAGGGGACUCAAUAAAGGUUGAGAUAGGAUUUUUUCCUAACUAAUGAAGUUUGUGAACAGGUCAUGGAAACACUUAAGUCUUAUGAAAUGAUUCUGGUUUCUAGCUAUGUCUGGUGCAAAGAAUCAUGAUGGAGACAAGGCUAAAUGUGCAAACCAAAAAAAAAAAAUUAUUAUUAAAUGCACACAAUUUUGUGUUUGUAAAUCGAUGUGCUUGACUGGGGAUGCCGAUGAUUUUGAAAGAACACCAAUCAGGGCAAUGAAAAGUACUGGCCAACACGGCACUGUGAAUGACAAGGAAUGAUAAUUCAAUGUUAAGCAGCAAGGUUUUAUAUAAUUUCCUGUUAGACAUGAUUUUUUGACCUAAUAAACUCAUGCUUUUCAUAUUUAAUAUCUGUAAAAUUGUACACACGAUCAUUGGCUUCUAUAGUUUGUAGAAAACUACAUGGUUUUCCAAUACUUUUUAUAAUUACAGUUCUGAGUCCUGUGAAUUUUAGAUUAUGUGCAGUGCAAAGACUUGGUUGACUGGUAGUUAUGGCUAACUAAAAAUAGGUUGUAUUAUAUUAAACUACAAAAAGUUUUCAGUACUUUUAUCUUUAUCAAUCUGUGUUAGGCACUUAUUUAGCAAGGUUGGAAGUAUGAAGGGUGACAGCAUCCCCUAUGGACUUCACUUUACCUCGACCAAACAGUGGUCAAUUGGUAUUUAAAAGUUAACUUCACAUCUAUGAACGAAAAAAUCAUGUUUGUUUAUCAUGGUUAGGCAAAGAUGCAACGCAUCCGUGAAGUGAAAAAAAGAAAGGACUGGUCAACUAAGGAAAUCUGUUGGUUGCCGUAGUGAAUUUGCGAACCAUUCACUGGAAACUUCAAAUUUCGAACACAGCAUGGCCUAUUCACUUUCAUGUUGAGCUCAAUCUAGAACAAAAAUAAUACUAUUACAGCACUAUUGGAACAGCUCUAAAGAAUUGGGGAUUGAUGCUGGAAAUACUUUGUUCCUUAUGGUCUUUGCAUGUUAAUCUUAGCUGCUGGGCUUAGCUGGGCAUUAAUAUUCAGAAAUUGUGAGAACUCCAUGCCUGCCCGUAUUUCAAAUCCCAAAUUUGACCCAAACCCUAACUUAAUUGAAAGCAGUUUAGAUUUGAUCUUUUCAAUCAGUGCCCUUGAGUCCUUGACCAUUCCACCCUUCCAAAGCCAUCCCUUCGUUUCUAUUUCAUGGAAGCUAGCUAUCUAUGCUGUAAUGCCAUCAAUCCAUUCCUAACUCUUUGAGAUGCUUUAUCACCCCCAAAGUCCAUUUGAUUACAUUUAUUACUUAUACAGACUUGAUCUGAUCAAGGAAAUAAAUAAUGGACGCAUUCUAUACAAUUUAUUUAAUGAACUCUACUUCUACUAAAAAGUUUUGUUUCAUUAUAUGUAGCUUUGAUCUCAACUUAAAUAUCUGCUGCAAUUCAUAUAUGAGAUAGGGUUUUCUUGUCCUCAUAGUUUGCACAACUUUCUACCAAAGAAGUUCACAAUGUAGAGUAUGAUUUAAAGGCUGGGAUGAACUGAGAAAUGAGUCAAUGUUGAAAAUCUAAAGGUAUUUAUUAGUAUAGUAGGGCAGUUUUGUAUUGGUAAUAAAUCUGUUGUAUUUUCUGUUUUGUUCUGUUUUGUAAUCUGGUGAGUCACUUACGAGUGUAGUUCUUUAGGCUCUAUAUAUAGGCAUGCUUUUGGGUAUUCUGAACUGAUCUUCAGAAAACAUGAAUGAAUAGAAGAUUUUCGUUGUAAACCCUUUCCCUUUUUCUUCAGAAACAACAGUAUUGAAACCCUUAAUUAACUAGCAUUUUUAUUUACUCUGGAUGAAGAUGGGACUGAAGGAAGAGUGCUUGAAGUUAAUUUCCUUUGUAACCCAUCCAUUUUGCUUCAGCUAAGAUGAAGGAAGAAGAGAAAUCAGCCAAUAUAAGGUAGAUUCAAUUGGAGUUAGCGUUCUCUUACUUUAGCUUAUUGGAUCCCUAGACCCAGCUAAUUAACCAGGAGCACCACCCACCAGCAGUUUAUGUCCAUUGAUAAAUACAAUCCUAGUUAGUUCUACACUGCCACGACCUUAACCCCUGCCUUGAACACCAGACCUUGCUGUCCGGGAACGCUGGCCAGUAAUGGUUAAUAGAGUCCUAGGGAAACCACAGAAAAAUAAGACAUUCAUAGAUUUUUACAUACGUUCAUGGACUCUUGUAUUAACAUUUUUGACUCGUGUAACAUUUGAGGAAAAAAGUGUAAAAAGAAAAUAAAGAAGGAAAUUAAUAGAAGAAAAGAAAAUAUGAAGAAAAAUAAAUAAAAUUUUAAAAUUAAUUAAUUAUUUUUAUAUAUUUUUUUAAAAUUUUAACUAAUUUUAAAAAUAUUCAAAUUUUUAGUAUUUUUUAUUAUAAUUUCAAAUUAAAAAAUUAUAUUAAACUUUUUUUUUAUUAUAAUUUCAAAUAAAAAAUUUCGGCACCCUAGUUUCUUCGGAGAUUUCUCUCUUCAAAUUCCUCUCUUCCCUUCAAAUUAUAUUCUCUCCAGUUCCCAUGGUUGGAACAGCAGCCAGUACUUGGGUAUGCUAUGUCAUUUUGGUGGUGGUGGCGUUUUGGUGAGUUGUUUGUCACAAGCGCUCUGAGGCUGGUGGAGUAGUGGGGUUGGUGUGGCACUAUUGUUUUGUAGGUGGGGAUUGAAAUGCUUAAAUUCUGAUUCAAGCUCUCUCUCAUGUCUUUAUUCUUGGACUUUCAGCGCCUAUUUCUUCUGCCACAAAAGAGCACUAUAGUCCUUCUGAAACUUUCACAAUAUUACCCACCAUCAAACCUAAGAUAAUAUUUCACCCAACUUGCCUCUUCUGUUUUUGAUAAAGUAACAAUCCGUGAUUGUGUGGGUGCCAACAAAGAGGAAAAUAAUUAAUUACUAUCGAGUUUUAGAUUUAAUAACUGUAACCAAAGAAACUGGUUCUGGGUUCUUGCAUUAAAUUGUGUUUAAGCAUCAUGUCUAAUUCGUUUCAUUUGUUUUGCAUUAAAUUGCAUUAAACAUAUACAACUUUUUUCAUUUUUCGGAUUGAACAAGUUGGUUUCUACUUUCUAGGGAGGAUACUAGGUUUUGUGAUAGUAUGAAGCUAUUUGAUGUUUUAAGUGUGUAAAGAAGAAGUUAGAGGACUCCCUGUACUCUUUUGAUGAAGUAUGUAUGGGCAUUGAAGUCUUGUACGUUAAGCAAAUAAAGAAGUUGUAUAUUGAUAUAAUAAUACGAGGCAUGUACAUAUAUAACCUUAUGGAGAUCUUUCUGGUCCACUUAAUUUCAAUGAUGUGUAUUUGCUUUGAAUUUGAAUUCUUGGAUAUGGCCAUCUUUGGAGGAAUACAAUACUGUAUGAUCUAAAAUUUAACAGUAUCCAUUUUCUUUGGCAAGAAGAUAAUCCCAUAGAGAGUGUGGGAACUUUAGGUAAGAGGACUCUCAAAGAAUUGUAGGUAAGAAUAGUUAGGUGAAGUGGUCAAGCUGAACAUGAGAUGGAUUAUACUAACCAGUCAAAAACACUAUGUAACAAAGGCGAUACUUUGUUUAUAAAUAACUGUGGUUCAAGUGUCUAGCGACAUGAUAAGGGGGACAUACCUGGUUGUUGCGAUCAAGAAUUGGUAAUUGACAUUCUGAACAUACUUUAUUAUCAUUAAUUUUUUGUGAGAGGUGGUGCCUUAUCUGGUUGCGGAGGAGUCAAUUGGUGCGGCGAUUAAUAGGUAAUGGCAUUUCCAUGUGCCAACAGCCAAUAAUACUAAUGACCAUGAAAGCGUCAAUCAGGGUGGCGCUGAUUGCAGGGCAACCUUGUGCAUCAAGAAUGAAUAGUACUAGAGAAUUCAACAAAUUAAGGUAUACCAUUCUGUUAUGCUUCCAUAAAACUUUCAUCGCUGAAUGGGAGAAUAGUUUGGUUUUGACAACUUAGACUGUAGAAGUCUAAGCUUCCAUCUCGUUUUAGCCUAACUUUUUCCUUGUCCAAUAGUUUAUACUUUCUUUCUUAUUUUCCGUAAAUUUUUCGAUGCUAAAAACAUAGGCUUGUUCACACAUUACUUCUAAUUAAACAGCAUGACAAUAAAAGACCACUAGAUGUUUUUCAGUUGCAUCUCUUUCAGCAGGUUUCAUAAUUUUGAAAUAUAAAAGCAAAAUCCUAUUUCUUUUUCCCCUUAAUCACUGCACCAUGUAUUCCAAGUAGUAAUUCUGUUUUGAGCAAGAUUUGCAUUUCGUAUGCAUAACAACUUCCAUAUGCAGUUACUGCUCCUUGUGUGACAAAUGGGGUUGAGAGUUGGGGUAUGCUUAUCCUUUUACUGUCAUGGUGAACUGAGAAUGGUUAGUUGUCCAUAAGCUCUGGGGCUUUGUUGGGAGGAAGAGGAAGAAGAAGUCCUUUUACUGUCAUAGAAAACUGAGAAUGGUUAGGUCCAUGAGCUCUAGGUCUUUUCUGGGAAGAGGAAGGCUAAAAGGAAGAAAAAGAAGAUACAACUGAUGUACGAAGAAGAAGAAGAAGAAGAAGAAGAAGAAGAAGAAGAAGAAUCGUUGAAUGGGCACCUAGCCUUCACCGUAUCUUAUUUGAUAACUGGAACUGGGACUAUAUAUAACUUGAAUAUUAAGGCAUACUACUCAAAUUUUCCACACUUGCCCUAACAAAUAAAAUAAGAUUAUUGUGGAAGAUGCUAACAUAUAUAUCCUAAACUAUUUUAAAUGUUAAUUGAGGAAUGCAACAUCACUUCAAUAUUGUUGUCUUCAAACAAGGCACACAACACAUCAAGUUAUCACACUACAUGGCAUUUAUUUAAUAAUAUACUAAUUAAUUGAACUGGAACUGAUAAACUUCAAUUUAAGAUUAUUUCUGAUUAAUUUGCUGCACAUCCAUCUGGGAUUUGGCAUCAUGAAGGCGUUUCUCUUGUGACAGUACUUCUGCAAACCUGUGACAUUGAGAGCAAUUCGAUCAGUAUUAAUGAAUGAUAGAAGAACAGGUGGCAUAUGUAGAGGGGCUUGUUUAUUAAUCCGGCGUAUUGUUGUUUGUGAUCACAUGCGUUCUCAUCUGAAAUGAAAUUACUAUGUAGUUUUGAUUCAAUAAUUAGUGGACAGAAUUUUAUACAGUAAACAGAUUUACAAUGAGAACUGAAUCUAAGACUAAUUUGAUACCUCAUGAGAGCCUCUUCAUUUGUCUGUUCACUUGAAGGCUCCAAAUUUGAUACCACAAUCAGUUGGCUUUAUAGAAAAGAAAUGAGAAUUUCCCCCACAAAUCUCGUUAGUCACUUCACCACUGAAAAUUAAAGCCUGAAAGGGAUCAAUAGUAGGUCACAAUUAUUAUAACAAUUCAUCACUCAUUUGUUUUUCAGUAAUAGAUAUACAAUACUGGAUUAUUGGAAGCUACUGUUAUUUCGACAUUAAAAUUAAGUGGGUGCCCACUAACCUAGUGUUUUAAUUUUUAUCCACUUAUAGCCAAUUAAAGAAUGCCUAAAAUAGUUACUAACUGUUGUAAGGAUAUUUACCCUUUGAUGGAGUGGGUAAAUAAGAAUAAAACAAUUAUUAGAAUAACACGUUCAGAAUAGUUUUCUGAACGAUUAUUCUUAGCCCUAUUCUCCUAUCUAUAAAAGAAAGAUACAAAACCCCUUUUGUGAGUAAGUUCUCUUCCAUCAAUUAAAGGAAAUAAUUAUGUGUAUUAAAAUUUGAUAAGGAGAAGAAGAGAUUAAGAAUUUAAGGUUUACAAAUUGAAGGGGAUCUCUCUAUUUAACAUGGCUGCGUGUUCUUCAAACGGUAUGUAAUCAAUUCUUUAAAUUUUUGAGAUGUGUUGAAUUCAAUGAUCUUUAAUUUGUGUGUUAAUUUUCGCGUUAAAUACUAACAAUUGGUAUCAGAGCCAAGUUGAAUUCAAAUAUUCAUAAUCAUUGUUUUAUAAGGAUUAAAUUUUUGAGAUUUUAUCUUCAAUUAAUUGGUCUCACCAAAACGAAUAGGAGAAAAUCUAAACAAAAUAAAGACCAACCUCAGCGCGUAGAAUGAAGGCACUGUGUCUUCCUUGCAACGCCGACUGGAGCAACGCAGUCCAAGCGCCGUUUCAUUUUGGGCGCCGCUACCAAUGACAGGGAUGACACUUGCGAUGCCGGUGAGGGGCGCCGUUUUGGCGCCGGUCCGGUGGUCGAAAAAGGUGUCAUUUGGCGCUGUUUCAGACAUUCAAGAAGUGUCAUUCAAGGAGCGCAACAAGGCCAUUCUAGGGGCCCUUCAGGGGCCAGUCCAAGCACCAUUUGCAGCGUCGUUCCAGGCGCGCUUUAGGCGCCAUGCCAGGCGCAUUCCAGGCGCUCCAGCGAUGUCGUAUUUAGGUGCUCCAGAAGCGCCAUUUCAGGCAAUCUAGAUGGCGUGUAGGCGCUGUUUUUUAAGCGUUUCAAAUGUCGAUGAGAAGGGCCAGUUUUGGGCGCUGCAGGCGUCCGUUCCAAGCGCUGUUCAAGGAUCGUUCUCUAAUGCAUUAUUAGACAAUUUAUAAAUGUAAGGUUAACUAGUUUAGAUAGUUGCCAAAGUAACCUAAAUUAGUGAGCCUUGUAUUUAUUAAAUUGCAUAAAAGAAUAAAGGGAGACUUGUAAAAUUCUUAAUAAUUCUCUUUAUAAUUAGGAGAAUGAGACUAGCCCAAAGUAGAGUCAAUUUCUGCUAAUUAUUAAUUAAUGCUUUUAUUUUGUGUUGCUUAGAAAAGUAAAAUGGAUACCCAAAGGUAACAUAUAAAUGACACAAAAUAGUAAAGUAUUUUAAGCUCCCUCCAAGUGAACACUGGAUAUGUUAAAAUUUACCCAAAGGAGAAUUUUAACGAUAUCAAUAGUUCAUUGUUAUUUAUUUUAUACUUGAGGCCUUAUUGUGAGCAUUGUUCUAUUUUGUACAGUUUCCACUUCGUUACACUCUCUUGCAUCUAGAAUGACUGUUUUUGAUGGGUCAAACUUUUCUGAAUGGUAUGAAAGGGUUCAAUUCUCACUGGGCGUAUUGGAUCUUGACCUGGCUUUAAUAACUGAUAAACCUCUUGAAGCUAUGGAUGAUAGUACUCCGGAGUAGGUGGAACAAUCAAAAGCCUGGGCAAAAUCAAACAGACUCAGUUUGAUGUUUAUGAGAAUGACUAUUGCCAAUAAUAUCAAGACCUCUCUCCCUUAAACCCAGUCUGCCUCGGAAUUUCUGAAAUCUGUUGAGGACCGCUUCAAACGCGCUAAUAAGUCCCUUGCAGGCACAUUGAUGGCUGAAUUGACCACCAUGAAAUAUGAUGGUAAAAAAUGUAUUCAACAACAUAUUUUAAACAUGACUGAAAAGGCUGCAAAGCUUAAGGCACUAGGCAUGAGUAUGGAUGAGUCAUUUUUGGUACAAUUUGUCCUUACCUCACUUCCAUCACAGUUUGCUCCAUUCAAGAUCCACUAUAAUACUAACAGCAAUCAGUAGAACUUGAAUGAGCUCACCAGUAAAUGCAUACAAGCGGAAGUGAGAUUAAGACAAGAAGGACAUAAUCUUGCCCUUGCUGUAACUCAUGGAGUCACAAAGAAGAAAGGAAAAUUCAGAAAAGGAAAGAAUUUUCCACCUAAGAAAAGUGGAUCUAGGGAAGGUAGUCAGAGUCAUGAUGAAAAAUUCAUGGUAAGUUGCUACUUUUGUGGCAAGAAAGGGCAUGUGAAGAAGGAUUGUAUCAAGCGCAAGGCUUGGUUCGAAAAAAGAGGUAUAAAUCUUUCUUUUGUAUGUUAUGAAUCCAAUCUUGCUGAAGUUCCUUCAAAUACUUGGUGGAUCGAUUCUGGAGCCACAACUCAUGUGACUAAUUUAAUGCAGGGAUUCCUUACAACCAGGAAACUGAAGGAAAGUGAAAAGUUCCUCUAUAUGGGAAACCAUCUCAAGGUCGAAGUGGUAGUUGUUGGUACCUAUCGCUUACUCUUAGACACGGGUCAUAUGAUGGAUCUUUUAAACACUUUUUAGGUACCUUCUAUUUCUAGGAAUUUAGUUUCUUUGUCCAAAUUAGAUGUUGCUGGAUAUUAUGUUUUAUUCAGUUCUGGACAAUUAAGUUUGUUGUUAAAUUUUAUUACAGUUGGUUUUGGUAUUUUAUGUGAUGGUUUAUAUAAAAUUUCCUUGAAUCAUGAAUUUGCACAAGCUUUGAUAACCCUGCAUUCAAAUGUUGGUUCAAAACGUGGCUUAAUUAAUGAAAAUUCUUCAAUCUUGUGGCACAGAAGAUUAGGGCAUAUCUCUAGGGAAAGAAUUGAGAGAUUAGUGAAUGAAGGAAUUUUACAAAAUCUUGACUUCAUUGAUUUUCAGGUAUGCCUGGAUUGCAUAAAGGGAAAGCAAACUAAACAUACAAAGAAAGGUGCCACAAGAAGUAAUGAGCUUCUUGAGAUAAUUCAUACGGAUAUUUGUGGACCACUCUAUGUUCCAUGUUUUACAGGAGAAAUAUUUUAUCACCUUUAUAAAUGAUCUAUCUCGUUAUGGUUAUGUUUAUCUAAUGCAUGAAAAGUCUCAGGCCAUUGACAUCUUUGAGAUGUUCAUUAUAGAGGUCGAGAUACAAUUAGAUAAAAAGAUUAAAAUUAUGAGAUCAAAUCGAGGUGAUGAAUAUUAUGGCAAAUAUGAUGAAUCAGGACAAAAUCCUAGUCCUUUUGCCAAAUUCCUUGAAAAGCGUGGCAUUCAUGCUCACUACACAAUGCCUAGUACGCCACAGCAGAAUGAUGUUGCUGAAAGGCGUAAUCGCACAUUAAUGGAAAUGGUUAGGAGUAUGAUGAGUUACUCUCCUGUACCUAUUUCAUUGUGGGGUGAAGCCUUAAAGACUGCAAUGUAUAUAUCUUGAGUAGAGUUCCUAGUACGACAGUUCCAAAAACUCCUUUCGAGUUAUGGACUGGUAGGAAACCUAGUUUGAGACAUAUACAUAUAUGAGGUUGUCCAACGGAGGCAAGAAUCUAUAACCCACAUGAGAAAAAACUUGAUUCGAGAACGAUAUCUGGACAUUUCAUUGGCUAUCCGGAUAAAUUGAAAGGGUACAGAUUUUACUGUCCUAACCACAGUGUGAGAAUAGUUGAAACCCGUAAUGCCAGAUUCUUAGAGAAUGGCGAAAUCAGUGGGAGUAAUGAACCAAGAAAGGUAGAUAUUGAGGAGAUAAGAGUGGAUAUCCCACCACCCUUUUUACCUCAAGAAAUUAUUGCCCCUCAACUUGUUCAACAAGUUGAGGAACAUGAGCAACAUAAUAGAGAUGGUUCAUUACCACCAGAAAAUAUUGCCAUUGAAAAUAUUGUAGAGCCACCACAACUGGCACCUUUAAGGAGAUCUCAAAGAGAAAGGAGACCUGCCAUUUCAGAUGAUUAUGUGGUGUAUCUAUAGGAAUCUGACUUUGAUAUUGGGAUAAGGAAGAAUCCGGUUUCAUUUUCACAAGCCAUGGAAAGUGAUGAUUCUAGUAAAUGGAUGGAAGCUAUGAAUGAUGAGUUGAAAUCUAUGGCCCAUAAUGGUGUCUGGUAGUUGUAAACCCAUAUGCUGUAAAUGGGUGUUUAAGACAAAGCGCGACGCUAAAGGCAAUACCAAAUGAUUUAAGGCCAAACUUGUGGCCAAAGGUUUCACUCAAAAGGAAGGUAUCGAUUAUAGAGAUACCUUCUCUCCAGUUUCCAAGAAAGAUUCACUUAAAAUCAUCAUGGCACUUGUAGCUCAUUUUGAUUUAGAGCUACAUCAAAUGGAUGUGAAAACUACAUUCUUAAAUGGGAAUUUGGAUGAAGAUAUCUACAUGGAACAACCUGAGGGGUUCGCAAAGAAAGGAAAUGAACACCUAGUUUGCAAAUUAAAGAAAUCCAUUUACGGUAUUAAACAAGCUUCCAGACAGUGGUAUAUUAAGUUCAAUAAUACCAUUACAUCUUUCGGAUUUAAAGAGAACACUGUUGAUCAGUGUAUAUAUCUGAAAAUUAGUGGGAGCAAGUUUAUAUUUUUGAUACUGUAUGUGGAUGAUAUUUUGCUUGCUAGCAGUGAUCUUGGUUUAUUACGUGAAACCAAGGAACAUCUCUCUAAAAACUUUCAAAUGGUUGAUAUGGGUGAGACAAACUAUGUUAUUGGCAUCGAGAUAUUUAGGAAUCGAUCUCAAGGAGUGUUAGGUUUAUCUCAAAAAGGAUAUAUUGAUCGAGUUUUAGAGAGAUUUAAUAUGCAGUCAUGUUCAUCAGGUGUUGCACCUAUAUUGAAAGGUGACAAAUUAAGUAAAAAACAAUGCCUAAGGAAUAACAUGGAAAGGGAGCAAAUGAAGAAAAUUCCUUAUGCAUCAGCUGUGGGAAGUUUGAUGUACGCUCAAACAUGUACAAGACCAGAUAUCAGCUUUGAUGUUGGCAUGUUAGGAAGAUACCAAAGUGAUCCAGGACUCAAACACUGGAAAGCAGCAAAGAGGGUGAUGAGGUACUUACAAGGGACAAAGGAUUAUAUGCUCACAUAUAAAAGAUCAGAACAAUUAGAGAUUGUAGGUUACUUGGAUUCUGAUUAUGGUGGUUGUCUCGAUAGCUUAAAGUCAACUUCAGGAUUUGUCUUUAUGCUGGCAAAUGGGGCAAUAUCGUGGAAGAGUGAAAAAUAAUCAAUUACUGCUUCAUCCACGAUGGAGGCCAAGUUUGUUGCUUGUUUUGAAGCCUCAAGUCAUGCUUUAUGGUUAAGGAAUUUUAUCUCAGGACUUGGUGUUGUCGACUCUAUUGCUAUACCUUUGAGAAUAUAUUGUGAUGACAUCGCAACUGUUUUCUUCUCUAAGAAUGGAAAAUUUUCUAGUGGAUUGAAACACAUAGAUUUAAAGUAUUUAGUUGUUAAAGAAAGAGUCCAGAAACAACAAGUGUCAAUUGAAAAUAUUAGGACCACACUUAUGGUUGUUGAUCCAUUAACUAAAGGAUUACCUCCAAAGGCAUAUUUGGAACAUGUUAUGAGGAUGGGUCUUUUGAGGAAUCCAUACUAUGUAUGAUAAUGAAUGGUGGUUAUGUAAUUGACAAUUUACGCAUUAAAGAUUGUUUUUGUUUAUUCUUGUUUUCAAUUAUGGGUGCACGUUUUAUUGUUUGAUAAACAAGAAUUAUCCCGACAAGACAAAUUACAGGGCCUGUUUGGCAUUAAGGACUGGGUUAGUUAGGGUUAUUGAUGUGUGGUGCAUGGAAGGAAACAUGACAUUAUGGUUAUGUGACCGCCAUGACUCGCAUUUAUGAUCUAAACUGAUUCAGUAUUAUGGUAUAUGAUUUUGGACGUAUUGGCUAUGUUUAUUGAAAUCGUGAUCACGUGUCAAAUUUAUUUUCCAGUAUAUAUUUUAUAUAUAAAAGUAUAUAUAUUAUAGUUUUCAUAAUCGGUUUAGUGGGCAAGUGGGAGAAUGUUAUUUCCACGUUAAAAUUAAGUGGGUGGCCCACUAACCUAGUGUUUUAAUUUUUAUCCACUUAUAAAAGUUUUUAGCCAAUUAAAGAAUGCCCAAAAUAGUUAAUAAUUAUUGUAAGGAUAUUUACCCAUUGAUGGAGUGGGUAAAUAAGAAUAAAACAGUUAUUAGAAUAACACGUUCAGAACAGUUUUCUGAAUAGUUAUUCUUGGCCCUCUUCUCCUAUCUAUAAAAGAAAGAUACAAAACCCCUUUUGCGAGUAAGUUCUCUUCCAUCAAUUAAAGGAAAUAAUUUUGUGUAUUAAAAUUUGAUAAGGAGAAGAAGAAAUCAAGAAUUUAAGGUUUAUAAAUUGAAGGAGAUCUCUCGAUUUAACAUGGCUACGUGUUCUUCAAACGGUAUGUAAUCAAUUCUUUGAAUUUUUGAGAUGUGUUGAAUUCAAUGAUCUUGAAUUUGUGUGUUAAUUUCUGCGUUAAAUAUGAACAGCUACUCCAAAUAAGAUUGAAUUUUCUAAUUCUUCCUGUGACAUAAUCUUUGAGAGAUAAGUUGGAGCAGCUAGCUGAAGUUCCUAUGCUUAUCACCGAGAGUAAGACAUCUAUGCUGGGGUGCUGUUUGACCUAGAUCACCAUGAAUAUCAAUAGUAAGUAAGUUUCUUUUCUGAUAAUGAGGACCAUGAAAAAAAAUGGUGAAAUAGUACAUUCCAAAGAUUUUUGUAUGCAUAACUAACUAAACCUUAAUGUUGGAGAAAAUGGUGAUGAACUCUCAAUUUUCCUAAAAGCUUAAGUUUGAAGGAUUUGAGUUCAAUAUGCAUAUCAUGCUCCUUAACACCCUCAUGUGAUCCUUAACACCUUCCCUCACAUGCGGUCCCAUCCCCACACGCGAAGAGAUAAACAAAAUUUGGAUUCAUAUCUAGAAAAACAAACAGGAGAUAUGCAAAUUAAGACCUUCAACCAAACUAAGCUUUAAUACCAUCUUGAACUACUAAUUUUCCAAAAAACUUAAACUUAUAGUAUUUAGGUUCAGUAUGCAUAUCAAAUGAUGGUUAUUCUUUUGUAAUAGGAUGUAAUUAUUCUUUUGUAAUAGGAUGCAUAUUAGGUCUCAUAACCAUUCUUUUACUCAAAGGGUGUCUUAAAUUGACCCUAAGUUAAAUUAUUCUUAAAUUGUUAACUUAAAAACUUAUUACUUAUUUUUAUUUUAUUUUAAAAAUUAAGGUUGUUUGGUUAACUUAAAAUCUAUUUUAAAAUAUCAUAUUAACAUAUUUAUUCUCAUUAAUUUUGAUUAAUAUUUAUAUUUUAACUAAUUUUAAAUAAUAAAUUUAUUUAUUAAAUAUUCAUAUUUAAAGUAUUGUAAAUAUAUAAGAUAAGUGUAAAAAUAUUAACUAUAAAAUAUGAAUUAAAUGUAAAGUCAUGAUUAUAAAAUAUACUCCCACUAAACAUGAGUAAAUGAGGUAAAAAAUAUUUGACAUUAAGAGUAAAUUAAUUAUUUUAAAGUUAUUAAUUUUGACUUUAAAUUGUGAUAUUAAAUUAUUUUAGUAAAUAUGUUUGAUCUCUUAAUAAAUUACAUGAAAGCAUUAAAUUAUAUAAAGUUAUUGAAUUGAUUAACCAAACAUCUAAAUUAAAUUAAGUCAUUAAGUUAUAUUAAGUUAUUAAGUUGAUUAAUGAAACAUUCUCUAAAUAUGAUAAAUUUUUUUUUUCCAAUUAUAUAGUUAACCUUCAAAGAAGGAAUUUUUCUAGACCCAUUCCUUUGCUUUUCGUUAAUGUUGCAUGUUGUCAUGUUCAAUCAAGUGUGUGAUUUCAUAACUUAAUUAACAUUGAUGAAAAUUUAUAUAUCAAAUAAACAUUAUUUUCUUACAGAAGCAAUUAAUAAAUGACAAAUUUGAGGUAUACAGCUUAGUACAAUCGUUUGGGAGAUAAAAAACAAAAGAAUCAAUCAAAUUACAAUAUUUUGAAGUACAAUUAUUACUAUAUAAGCAGCCCAUGCUUUGGCCAUUGGACACAUACAGCCAAGGGUAACUGGUACCGGAACAAUGAAGGGUCAAUCUCACUACUUCAAGUUUUUCUUGGGAUUUGGUGAUCUUGUCUCUCGGAGUCUCUUCUCAUCAGAGAGUAGCUUUGCAAACCUGCAAGGAGUAGGUAGUCAACUGUACUGUUAUAAAAGAUCUUUUAUACUUAAUGCAAUUAUACAAAUGUUUAAUAUCUUGUUCAAUUUAAUUUUUUUCUAUACCUUUUGAGAGCCUCUUCAUUAGUGCCGCAAUUUUCAACUGGCACAGAGAGACCUGUCUCCAAGUUCACCCUUGAAACUGGUUUCUUCAGCAGCCUUUCUCCGAUUUUCACAAGGUUGCCCAAGUUUUCCUUGGUGGUGACAUCAACCGUAGCAUUCGUUCCAUGUAAUGUAUCAUCCUAAUUUGACAUAGUUCAAGCAAAUAUUCAAUGCACAAGAAGGUUUAAGGCAAAAGCCAAAUGGAAACAUGAGCAUGUAUUGGAGGAGCUCACUUGGAUUCGGAGGUAGUUAUCUUCAGAAUGAAGGGCUUGGAAAACCACGGAAAUAUGGAAAUCAACCAUAUCUGCACUUGCUUGCGUAAACACAUCCACCAAAGGAGUGGAACCACCAUGAAGUAGCCAACCCAAAACGCCCCAUUUGGCUGCCAUUUUGGCAUUGUAUUUCUGUUCUGACUUUGGAGAGCCAGUUCCUAUUGAGAUCACUAGAAAGCGGCCAUAGUCCAUGGGUUUAAUUGGUAAGAAAUCUGGGUUUUUGUCAAAAACUUGUUUCGUUACUUGGCUUAUGGCAACUAAAGCCUGGAUCAUGGUGCCAAAAGAAGAAAAAAGAUAAAAGUCAGCUUAAUAUAUUUAAAUUCUGACACUUUGUUAUAUAUUAUUGCUUUAAGUGGUUAUUAUCUUACCGGAUUAUUUGCUGCGACACCACCAUCAAUAAGAUUGAGUUCCCGUGCUUUUCCUUCUUUAUCUUGGUUUUUAAAGAAAUAGGCCGGAAAGUAUGUUGGUGCUGCAGAGCUACCAAUGCAUAUGUCAGCCAGUGGAGCAUCCAAACUUGGGGAUCUUUUAACCUGCAUGAGGUUAGUUAAGAUUCUGUUACAUGUUAGCCAGGUAAUUAAUCUAGACUCACAAUCCAAACCCAAUUAAAUGGAGGGCCGAAACGGUAGAGCACGAGAGAGAGAGAGAGAGAGAGAGAGAGAGAGCAAGAUCAACCUCAUAGGAGGAGAAAAUGCUUGGCUGCAAACUCUUGAUAUCAAAAGUUGGAAUAACCACACUGGUCAAGGUCUGAUGCAACCGAGUCCUUCCUAGUUUCUCCUUUAUGAGGUUGUGAAGGUAUUUCCCAUCAUAAUUGGGCCCAACUAUUGAUCUAAAAAUAUUCAUGAUCCAGCCGAAAAUACCCCUGCCAUUAAACAAAAAUUCUUUUGUUAGUUACCAUAUGAAAUUCCAAAACAAGACGUAAUCCUAGGUUUUCACAUACUCUAUAUGAAUCGAUCUUCAAAAGAGAAGCAAGAACAAUCUGUAUCAAAUAUUACCUUCUGUGUGGAAAUAUUUUAGGGCCGUGCUCAAGAUAAAAGGGCUUGAUGUCUUUGGCUGCGAAUAGAGGACGUUUCUCAUCAUUCGGAGCAGUUAGCAUGGCAGUCACAAGACCACCUGUGCUUGUUCCAGCAAUCACAUCGAAGUAGUCUGCAAUCCUUGCAUCAUCACCAUCCAGCUCCUGAUAUAUUCAAUAUUGUAUUGUUUGUGGUUAGUGUUACCUAAAUCCAUUAUUUUAUCUUAUAUUUGACACUUGGACCACAGUAACAUAUUUGAGGAUUAUUAGCAGGUUGCAUUCUUUCUAAUUUUCAAUAUAUUUGAGGAUUGCAUAUAUAGGCUAUACGCAAUACAACAAAUUUUAAAAUAUGUAGUAUGGUAGGUAGGUGAGCGGGAUUGAAUAAGCAUUUGGAUUGUAAUUGUUCACUGUUUUUUAAAGUUGUGUAGUGAUAAUUUUUAAAGAAAAAUCGCUCCAAGAACCCUACUUUGACAUGCAGUAGAAUAUAGAGAUGAAAUAUGUGCAAACAUCAUCCACAUGAUAUUAAAUAAUUUAUACCUGAAGUUGAGAUUCCAGACAAGCAAGGAUAGUUGCAGGAAUGAUGCCCCUGAUACCACGUCCAUCAAUACUAAGAAUGGUGACUAGGUUACCAUAAGUUGGGGGCUGGAUUUGAGGUAAGAGUGAUUUCUCCAUCUGAAAAAUGAUAAUUAUAGGAUUGUAUGCACUAACUUACAACAAGAAACUAAGAAAUCCUUGGAUAAAAGAAAGAUGUGAAGAAAAACAAAAGGGCUUGAGGCACCAAGAAAGAUGGCCUUGAGCAAGAAAAGGAUGAGAAAAAAGAAACAAUGCUCGAGUUGUCUUCCCUCUUGUGUUGGAUUGCAUUGUCCAGAAUCUAUUUAUAGGCUAAUCGAGCAGCAAGGCACGUGCUAUAGAAUGCGGUUACUGACGAGUAGGUAACGUGAUAUGAUGAUGAAGUCUGCUUCUAGCACAGAGCCCCUUUCCCAGAUAUUCUUUUAGUUUAUGUGGUCAACACACUCCAUUAAUAGGAUAUUCUGUGUGCAAGUAAUUACACACAGAAUGAAGGCGGCUGGCCAGAUUUAACAUGAGAAAAUUGAGUUGAAUGAGUCUAAUAUUAAAAUCACAUUGUUCAAAAAUAAAAAACAGAUGAAGUCUGCUCCCACCAAGUUUCCAUACCACAUUUUGAAGUAUAGUUAGUUCUCGUUCUGAUAUUAAUCCAGACUAAGGCUGGCAGCUUCCAACACUGGUAUAAUAGCAUGUUUUCCAUCUUUUUUUUCUCCCCUGUAUAUACACAUAUUAUAAAGUCCAUAGUAUGAACCUUGUUUCAUCGUUAACAACUAAAGAAAGAUAAAUUAAUGAACAUGCAAAUGAACGCUCAUGCUUACGAGGAUGAUUAUUUUGAUAUUUUAUGAUAGUACAACUAGCAGUCUGCUUUGUCAUGCUGUUGCAUCCUCCUAUUCUUGUAUUUGUGUGUAAGGGACAAAUCAAACUUUGAGGAUUGCAUGACAACACGACAUCAUGCUCAUCACAGAUGUUGUUCAAUUGUUCAGUUUAUAUAAACAUGAAACACAUGGUACGGAGAACCAGGACAAAUCAACCUCUUAAUCAUUACAUACACGGCAUCAUGUUCAUUAUAAAUAUUGGUGAUGACAUAAUAAUAUAUGCUAAAUAGGGUGUAACAAAUAAAAAAAAAAUUAAGACUAUGAAAGUGAAAUUAGAGAAAGAGUGUAUGUGAGAGAAACCAAAAAAAAUAAAAAAAUAAAUUUAAAACAUGAUGAAGACGACGGUGAAGGAGAUGUUUCACCAAACAUUUCAUUAUUUACUAAAGAAAUAAGUUUGGUUUAAUCUUCCUUGCAAGCUAUCUUACUUUUUUUUAUUACAACCUAUGCUCAAUUAUGCAAUGAUUAUACAACGUCAUUUCCUUGAAAACGACAUUGAUUACUUGGCACUAUAUAAUUUGCAUGCUUUAUUUGUUGGUAAUAUUAUGAUUUUUUACUAUAAUAUUCUUUUCAUGACGGGUGGUGUCGGCUCCAGAAAGGCUGCAUCAGUGCACAGUGAUUCUCAAUCAGAUAUUAGGGCACCCAGAUAAUAUUUUUGUGUUUGUGUCACUGUUGUCCUUUAAAAUUAUUUAUCCUUACAUCUAAAUAAUUUGUUUUCUUGUGGUUGUAGAUUUGAUAUAAAGUUGAUUCAGAUAAACCAGUUUUUAAUCUUGAAUUUAAAAAAAGAAUAAUCUAAAAUAUAAUGGUGAAAAUGAAAAGAAAAAAAAAAUGAAUACCAUUCCUAAAUGGAAAUCUUGGUAAUUGAAAAACUUCGUCAACAUAUACCAAUGGUUUAUUAAUGGCUAUUAAAGUUUCAUGUAGGGACUAAAAUUUCUUGACAUAUCUUCAAUGGACAAAGAUCAUUUUUCCAAAAAUAAAUUGUCUUUAAAUGUAUUGAUUCCUUUUCUUUUGCGUUAGGCAAUGGAUGUUCUUCAAGUGAAAACCACACUUGUAGAGUUGUGUCCACACUAACAAUCAUACCAAGUACUUCUGUCAUUAUACCAAACAACCAAGAAAUGAGUAGUCCAACAUUCUUAGUCCAGGCAGUGUGUUGAGGGUUCAAGAAAAACUUUUCUCAGUUGUAUCCAAGCCAACAAUCAUACCAAAUGCUCUUCUAUCAUUAUUCCAAACAACCAAGAAGUGAGUAGGUCCAGGCAGAGUGUUGAGGAUUCAACAACUUUUCUCCAUUUUCAUCAAAUUUUUCUUUUGCGAGCUUAUUAGCAUCUAUGAGAUGGUGUGCUAUUCCAAGACUUCUAAUAAGAGGCAGAACUUGUGAACACCAUAGAAGAAAAUUAGAAGUGUUUAAUUUAAUUGAUACAAGACUAAUGCAUUGGUUAAAGAAUUGGAUAGUGAGUUUGGGUUCAUCUUGACUGACCAUAUUUGAAAGGAUUGGAUUAUAGGCUCUGAUGCCAUGUGAAAACAAAAAAACACUAAGCAAACCUUUGAAGAUUAUUAUACAGAGAGAAUGUAUGUACAAUUGUCGGGAUGACUUUUAAUAAACAAUGACAGAGUUAUACACAUUAAGUAAUAAGAAAAUUUUCGAGAACUCAGUAAUGACAUCAGUUAUUUAGUAAGUUCCCACUUGGUCGCAUCCUGAUGAAACUUGAGAAUUAAGGUGCUAGUGAUUGAGCUCAAUUUGAGUAUUGCAACUAAACACUUCUUAUAAAAAGGAAAUGGAUGAGAAAUGAGAGGGAAUUUUUUUUGAGCAAACACACUUUCUUUCUUAGAAUCCAAACUUGAGGAAUACAUCAUAAUACAAUCAUUUUUCUGUUUACAUAACUCAUUUUAUCAUUACUUUCUAGAAAUUUGUUUGUGUGCUCCCUACAAUUUAAGUCAUGUAAAUUGUAGAUAAGAUGUCCAAUGCCAAGACUAAGUGGACUGUUAGUUACUGAUCAGGUUUUCCCACAACACCACUCAACUGUUAAAAUGAUGAAACUAUUGCAUAAAGGUAAGGUAGGUAGCUAAUUAUAUCUAAAAAUAAGAUUAAAUUAAAAUAGCUACCAAAAUUUUUUACUUUUAUCUUUAUCAAUCAGUUCUGGGCACUUAAUUUGCAAAGUUGGAAGCAUGAAGGAUUACAGCAUCCUGAAUGAACUUCAAUUUAGGAACUAAAGGUAGCUAAUUGGUAUUUAAAUUAAUUGAACAUUGUUUAUCAUGGUUAGGCAGAGAUGUGAGGCACCAGUGAAGUGAAAAAGGAUAGGGCUGCUCAACUAUGGAAAUCUGGUCGCCCUAGUGAAUUAGUGAACAAUUCACUGGAAGCUUCAAAUUUCUUGCACAGCGUGGCCAAUUUCAUUUUCAAGUUUAGCUGAACCUAGAGCAGAAAUAAUACUAAUACAGGAUAAUUCCAACUUCUCUACAGAAUUGGGAUUAUGGGUACAUAUGCUGGAAAUACUUUGUUCCUUGUGAUCUUUGUAAAGCUUAUGUUUAUCUUUUUAAUCAGUGGCCUUGACCAUUCCACCAUUCCACCAUUCCAAAUUAAGCUAUCACUUCAUUUAAUACCACAGUCCAUGCAUGAACUAUUUUAUUCUGAGAUUAUUUUUUUUCACCAUAUAUAAUGAUGCUAAAUAAAAGGAACUAAAUAAAAAAUCAAAACACACGACCCUGCAUCACACCUCACUAGUUUACUUACAGACUCAAUACUUCACAUAUAUAUGCAAUGCCUUCUCCUGGUUAGAUCUUUCAUUUUCACAAACUGAACCUACAAACCCAUAUAUAAUAGGAUGGGUAACUAACCAUGGCAGAACUAUUACUUUUCAUGGAAGCUAGCUAGAUAUGAUCUAAUGUAAUUAACAAUGCAUUCCUGAUUCUUUGUGAUGCUUUAUAACAUGGGAAGUCCAUUUGCUUACCAUUUAUCACAUAUAUAGACUUGAUCUGAUCAUGGCAAUAAAUAAUGGCAAUCCUUUAUAGCCCAGCUACUUUUGUUUAAGGGUUUUCUUUUACCAUGCGUACCUUUGAUAUCUCAACUUAUGUGCAUCAAUUAACAUAUAUGAGAUAGGGGUUCAUGUCUUCCUAGUAUGCACAGCUUAAUUUCUACCAAAAAGUCUCACAUGUGGAGGUAUGAUUUAAGGGCUUUGAUGAAAUGAGAAAAAUGAGCUAAUGGCAAAAUUCUGAAGUUGUUAAAACACUGAAUCAACUCGCAUUUUCAUUUACUUUGGAUGAAGAUGGAGCUGAAGGAAAAGUGCUUGAAGUUUUCUUAAUAAUCCAUCCAUUUUGCUUCACCUAAUUAGAUGAAGGGAGAAGCGCAAAUAUAGAAGGUAGAUUCACUUGGAGUUUCUCUUACUUUACCUUACCGGAUCCCUAGACCUAGCCAAUUAAUUAACCAGGACCACCACCACCCAUCAGUGGUUUAUGUCCAUUUAUAAAUACAGUCAAUUAUAUGCUGCCACGUCCUUCACUGUAACCCCUGCCUUGUAAACCGGUCCUUGCUGUCUUGAAACGCUGCCCAGCAAUGGUUUAAUAUAGUAUGAGAGAAACCACAGAAAAAUCUAUAGGACAUUCAUAAAUUUUUAAUCAUUCCGUGUCAAACAUACCCGACUUUAUAGUUUCUGACUUCUUCAGGUUUUUGCUUGUUCCACAUCCAGCAGGUUUUUAACUUUAUGGAGUCAACAAUUUCAAGCAAGUGACAUCUUAAACGUUGUUUUCUGAAAAAAAAAAAAAAAAAUCAGAAAUCUAACUCACAUGUAUCCAAUAGAAGAUUGUAGCAAAAUUGAAUUGCAAACCAAACACACAAAAGAAGUCCAAAAGAAUAUUUCAUUCUUUCACAGUUCAUUAGCAAUAUUACAGUCUACCCGUGAUUAUUCACUCUCUAAACAAUGGUUAUGGAUCUAAAUUAAUGCCGAUUGCAGCUAACCAAACCCAAGCUAAGGGGAAGUUUAUUACAGCACAAUCAAUUAUAGAAGAAAAUAGCUAAUUUUAAAUUGAUGAUGCCCUACAUGCUGCAUGUCCAUGAGGCGAUUUAGCUAUGAAGCUUCUUUUCUUGGGAGAGCAGGUUUGCAAACCUGCAGGAUUGAAAGCUACUUAUUGUGAUUGUGAUAUUGAUUCAGAAAAUAAAAAAUAAAAAAUGUAUUUCUACAAACCUUAUGCGAGCCUCUUCAUUGGUCUCCUGAUUAGUAGGAACAAAGAUACCCGACUCCAAAUUAAAUUCAUCCUUGAAACUGGUUUCUUUAGCAGUCGUUCCCCAACUUUUACAAGAUUUUUUACUUUCUUCCAUGGCAAUAUCAACUGAAGAUACUAGUCCUUUUAGGGUAUCAUCCAACAGUUUAAUUUUUAUUUGAAGGUGUCAAAAGUAGUGUUAUGGUGGACCAGAAAACAAGGAAGAAAAUCAUUUUUCAUCUCCAAGAAUAUAGAGGAUUUUAACAACAAUAGCUUUGAUGUUGUAUCAAUGCUUGUAUAAAGACGUGCAUGAGCAUGUAUGCCUACCUGAAUCCGAAGGUAAUUCUUUCCCGAGAGAAGGGCUUGAAAAACCAUGGAAAUAUGGAAGUCUACCAUAUCUGUGCUUGCUUGUGUAAACACAUUCACUAAUGGGGUGAAACCAAUACUAGUUAACCAUCCCAAUAUAUAUGGAAGUCAACCAUAUCCAUAAUUGUUUGUCUUUAAGUUUUUCCUUUACAAGGCUUUGCAAAAACUUUCCAACAUAUUUUGGACUUAGUAAGGCUUUUGAUUAUCUUUAUAAUGAGGUAAAACAUAACUGUCAUUUAGGAAAAAAAAAAAAAAAAAAGAAGAAAAAAAUCAUGUUAACAACUAUAAAAAUAGUAACUUUGUGACAUUCAAUUCAACAUAAUUAUACUGGUUAAUGAAUUCUUUGGUUGUGGGCAAAUUUUAAGAGACUGAUUAAGGUAGAGAUUCUCAAUGCCUUUGGCGGCAAACAUGGGGCAAUUGUCUUACUAGGUGCAGUUAGCAUGACAGUCACAAGACCACCUGUGCUUGUCCCAGCAUCAUAUCAAAAUAGUUUACAAUUCUUCAAUCCCCUCCAUCCAACUUCUAAACCUAGUAGAAACCACUUAGAGUUAAUACUUGCAUUAUAAUAACCACUGUUAACAUCAACACAAAUGAAGUGGUAAUAUAGAAAAUUGUUGCAGCUUCAAAAACGCCCUCCAUUUAAAUAUACACAGGUGAAAAAUGGCAUAUAUGCCAAAAUUCUGGUUGAAUUGAUAUGGCAGAGGUAGCUUGUAGAUAUGAAUGUCAUGAUUAGUAUCACUCUUCAUAUAUGGAAUAGAAGAGUGAUGCUCCUGAUGCUUGGGGAGCUUGUUGAUAUUUAGAUCUUACCUGAAGUUCAGACUCUAGAAAGUUAGGGGUAGUUAAUUCCUAGGAUAAUCCUUUUUAUCCCACCUUCAUCAAUGUUGAGGAUGGUAAUUAAUUAGAUUCCCAUAUGUUGGAGGUUGCUAGGGUGAUUUUAAUUUGCUCCUUCCAUGAUGGUAUGAAGUAAAAGAGAUAGAUGUAUAGACUUUCUUUAGAAAAAAUUAUAAGAUCUUGAAAUAAAUUUUAAUAGAAAAAGAAAUUGUAAGACUGAAGUACUCUUUCAUAAAGCAUGAGAUAUUAAAGUUCUACCAAGUUAAGAGAAAGAAUCUAUGAAUAUGGAAGACUUACGUAACAUGGGUAUCUAUGUUUAUAGCAUGAUAUGUAAUUUAAUUUUUCCCCUAAGUUUCAUUAGUUCACCGUCUAUACUUAAUUCUUUGACUUUGUCCCUACAUGUACUUUCCUUGAUGUGGCUUUGGUUGGAGAUGAUGAUCACUAACAUGGUUAUCAUUCAAUGAAAAACAACUGUUAAAUCAUUUUAUCAUAAUGGAAAGAUGGCCCUUGUAGGCACUCAAUAUGGGAAUUGUAGGUAGAGUACUACUCUAAGAGAAUUUUAGGUAAGACUAAUUAGGUAAAUGCGUAUAGCUAAAAAUGGAAUGCAUCAAUCCAACCAAACUAUUACCCUAAGCAACAAAGGCCACAAUUUCUAAAUAAAUAACUUAAUGUGAAUUGUAGUAUCUAGCAUGUUUACAUGAAAAUAUUCUUGCUUGCAUGUUGAAUUCAAGAAGUUAGUUUGUAUUCUAAAUGUCGCUUUUUUUUUUUCAUAAUAGGUGGCGCCUACAUUCUAAACACCAACUUUUUUCACAAUAGGUGGCGCCUACAUUCUAUAUAAACAUCUACCAUUUUUUUUUUUUUUUUUUGCAAUAUGUGGUACCUCGUCAAGGUGCAAAAGAAUCAAUUGGUGCGAAAAAUUUGUAAUUCAAUCAAAUCAAUUCCACGGGCCUCAAAAAAUGAGAAAUAAUAUUGAUGAUAUGACAAUGAUGAAAGCCUCCAUCAAGUUGAUGACGAAAGAGUCAAAGCCUCGAUCAAGGAAGGCAGCUGAGUGUAGCAUGCAUGAACCAACAAUGAACUCUGGUUUACCAUUUAGUUAUGAACAAUAACAGGAGUGUUCAACUUUGAUUUACCUUUUUGCUAUGAACAAUUUCAGGAGUCGUCAACUCUGGUUUAAUAUUCUGUUAUGUGGAGAAACCUCCUUAAGAUGUUUUCACUGUUGUUUACACGGUGGGGCACAAGUAAUUAAUACUGCAUUUCUUUGGAAAAGGCGAAGCCUAAGGGAUACAAUUGGGAGUGGAUGAGUAAAACGGGGAAACCAAAUUUGCCCAACCUAACCAGAAAAACUACCGUAGCAGUUGUGUAUACAGAAAGAGCAUUUAUAUGUGCAGAAAGAAAAGACGCCCAAACCCCUUCAUUUGAUGCCUUGUGCAACAGAUGCGGAUUGGGAUAUAUCUGCUCCCAAAAUGGAGAAUAUUGGUGCUGAAGUAAUGUGCUGAAUAUUGUUAUUAGAAUGGGAUGAUAUGUCAUUUUGAAGGCGAUGGAGUUUUGGUUAGUUGUUUGUCACGAGCGCUCUGAGGCUAGUGGAUGUAGGUGGCAUUAAUUGUGGGUUGGUGUGGUUGUGUUGUUGGUGGGGAUUGAAAUGCUUAAAUAUUGAUUCAAUCACUAUGGAGGGAUUUUGAUAUAUUUUUUAUAUGAAAGAAAGUGAAAGCAUUUAUCAGGUUUCCUCUUGAGCUUUAGAGAUCUUUAAUCAAAUUAGAAGCCUUAGAUAUAUUUUUUUUAUGAAAGAAAGUGAAAGCAUUUAUCAGGUUUCCUCUUGAGCUUUAGAGAUCAUUAAUCAAAUUAGAAGCCUUAGUAAUGAUAUUCUGGAAAAAUAAAAAGUAUUGUUUCUAAGAAGGUUGUCAAAAAAGUUUGAUCAUGUAGUUGCUGCAAUUAAAGAAUCCAAAGAUUUCUUAAGAACCAGAAUUAAUGGAGCCACUUAAAACCACAUGAGCAAAGAAUCAACAAGCAUUCCAUUUCACCUAUGGACUAAGCUUUUCAAUCAAAAACCAAUGUUGCUGAUAACAAAGGUUUUAGGCAGAGAAAGUAAAAGGACGGGGGUUUUGGGUAAUGGGCCUAUCUAAGGCCCUCCUCUGUGUCUUCAAAGUUGGUCUAGUUUGGGGCCAGGAUUAAAACUUGGCUAGCGUGAAUGGCCCAAGAAGAAAAAUGGCAAAGUAAGAUGUGGAAGAGCUAAGCAUGAGGAGUAGUGGAGAUAGUUAGUGCUUGGAGUUGUAACUACUUAAAAUGGCAAAGAGAGAAUCAAUAAUGAGGAGGAAAAUGCCCCCAUAGACUCUACACCUAUCGAUAGAUGAAGGGUAUAUCAAUGCAACUGGCUAGGCCAUCACCAAGAGAGAGGUAAGAAAGAACAAUAAGAAAUACUCUUUUUUUAUAAAUAAAAAAUAAAAAAAACAAAAAAAACCCCAACUAACUUAACUAUUGGAGAAGCUUAUCUCAGGGCUAUACCGGGUAAGCCUUGUGUUGCAAGUAAAAAACGCACGGCAAGUAGAAGAUUAUAGCUUAAGAAAUUUUCAACUCCAACAAGUGGCGUCAUUUGUGGGAAGUUUCUAUGUUGAAGUAUAGCUUUCACUUUGAACUUGACGUAGAACCCUUUUCUUUUUGUCUGGAGUUGGAAGUUAGACAAUGGGAGACAAUUAGUUGUGGGAUUCAAUUAGUACAACAAUCCCCCGGAUGGCCACUACCUCAAAAACUCUUUGCGAGGGUUUUGAAAGAUUCUAGGUGGAGCAGGAAAGGAGAAUGGAAUCCAUUCUUGCUCAAACUGAGUUGCUAAAGCAAGAAAAUGCCUUAUUGCAGAAACAACUAGAAGAUCGGCAGGUUCGCAGUCAAAUGUUGCAUCAACCAGCAAGCAAUCUUGAUCAUAUACGCCAGCAAGAUAAUGAUGACAUGGUGGAGCCUUUAGAUCAUGCAGUUCCCCUUGGUCAAGCUCCUCACACCAUCUUAAACUCGCAUAGGGGACACCGCCCAUCUGAUGCUAGGAUUCCAAGAAUGUUGGUCACUGAAAAAGUCGAUGAGGUAGACAACACCUCUCGGCGGGGAUCCCAACACCCAUUAUAUUCAAACUCAGGUAGCCGACAACAAAUGAGAUUGCCCUAGGUUGAAGUCACGAGAAGGAUGGCUCGACCCCUGUCUUUAGCAGUUUGGCUCCCUCAGGAACGUCCAAACGAAUUGCCCCUAAGGGCCACAACUUGCCACUUGAAUGAUAUGAUGACAAUGUCAUUUGAUCAACAUAUUAUGAUGUAUGAACCCCCAAGAGGAUACACCAUUCCUAAGUUCGUCAUGUAUGAUUGUACAUAUGAUUCAUUCAACCAUUUAAUGCAUUAUCAAAAAAUGAUGACGCUAGAUAUCGACAAUGAUGAACUCCCUUUGUAAGGUGUUCCCAACGAGUCUCCAGGGCAUUGCCCUAGCUUGGUUUCACCGGUUUUCCCUUAAUUCUAUUCACUCCUUUAGGGAGAUGUCAGAAGUCUUCGUUGCGCACUAUUUGUGCUUAGCAAGGCAGAAGUUUAAUAUAAGUAGUCUUCAGAACUUGAAUAAAAUAGAAAGUGAGACUUUGGGUCAAUUCAUGCAUAGAUUCAACCAAACAAUGCUCUAGAUAGAAAGAUGCAAUAUGGAUGCUUUACUACAAGCAUUCAAACGCAACAUUGGCCUUGGGACUCCAUUCUUUGAAUGUCUCUCGAAAAAAUCGCCAUAAAUAGUCAAUGACUUGUUUAGAAGGGCCAAUAAGUAUGCCCUGUUGGAAGAAGAUUUACAGGUUGUUGCCAGCCCUGUUUUGGCAUCAACACAGACAACACGAGCAAGAAAAAAUGCAGGAAACAAACGUCAGGGCCCGGGUAAUCCCUCAUAAGACAAGAAGUCAUGUAGGAAUCAGAAAGACCAAAGAACACCCCGAUGGUGGACCCCACUUAGCUUGACUUAUGGACAGUUGCUUCCCAUUAUGAGUAGUUUGCCCGAUUUCAAGUGGUCUUUCGCUCUCAAGGGACUCACCGCAAUGAGAUCAAACUCGACAUUGUGAAUAUCACAAAGAACAUGAACAUACUAUAGAGGAAUGCCGACACUUUCGUUAUUUGGUGGAGGAAUGGUGAGAAUCAGCUUGAUCUCCCAAUAUGUCGAGAAAAGUGAACGAUUGACCAUUGGGAGUAACAAGCAAGUUGUAGCUGGCAUGGUUUAGCCAGAUGGAACCCUGCCAAUCAUUCACAUCAUUCAAGGAGGGCUUGUGGAUCAAUGCUGGAAGUCAAAGCGCCGUCGACGAGCAAUGAUCUAAGAAGCAAUCGAUGUCGAGAAGAUUAGCAUGGAACAAUAUUCCUUUGUUCCAGGGACAAUGGAACCUAUGGAUGGGGUUGUCUAUUUUAGCCCUUGGGAUCCGGCCUUGGUAAUAGUGCCCCAUGAAGAUGCUCUUCUCUUGUCACUCAAAAUUGCUAGAUUCCAAGUCUGUCAAGAAUUAGUUGAUCCUAGUAGUUCAGUUGAUUUUCUCCACAUCUCGGCUUUUGAGUAGAUGGGCAUCCCAAUUUAUACUUUAGGAGGCCCAGAUUGAGUACUAACAUACUUCAAUAGCUUAACAUCCUGGUCUUUGGGGAAAAUAAUUUUGCUAGUAGAAGCCAGCCUUACAGCCCUAAACGCCUGCUUUUCAGUCAUAUUAAAUCCUUCGCCUUAUAACACUAUACUGAGAAUAGAAUGGAUUCAAAAAAUGAAAGCUACCUCAUCAACUUAUCACCAAAAAGUCAGUUUCCUUAGAAAAAUGGGACAGGUUGAUCUAUUUGGAAGCUAACUAGCAGCAAGGCAAUGUUAUCAGGUAAAUGUCAGGCUUGUAGGAGAGGAAAUCGAAAGUGUCUGCACUGACAGUGAGGCCCAACAGAAAUAACAAUUACUAAAAAAAGGGGAAUGAGCAAGAGCCUCUAGUCGUUGACCCACUCGUUUGCAUAGAAAUACAAAAUGGGGGACGAUAUAGAGUUACUUAUGUUAGCUUUAUGCUGACAUAGCAAGAGAAAUAGCUAUUAGUAAACCAACUAGAUAAGAAUGCCAUACUUUUUCUUGGAAGUUUUCUAACAUGUGAGGAAUAUCCCCUGAAGUGAUUAGCCUUAAACUUGGGAUCCACCUAGAAUCAAAGCCUGUUUAUCAGAAAGUAAGGAGACUCAAUUAAAAAAAGUAACAGAUAGUUCAACAUGAAAUAUCCCGAUUGCUCGAUGUGGGAUUCAUUCAAGAGGCUAGCUAAUGUAGUAGUUGUGCCAAAAAAAAAGGCAAGUGGAGGGUCUGUAUUGAUUUUACUAACCUAAAGGAGGUGUGCCCAAAAGAUAGUUUCCCUUUACCACACAUUGAUCAAACAGUUGAUGCCACUUCAAGGCAUAAAAUGUUUUCAUUUAUGGAGGUCUUUUCUGGCUAUAAUCAGAUUCCCAUAUAUCCUCCUGAUUCAGAAAAGACAACAUUCAUAACCCCUUUCAGAACUUUUUGUUACAAUGUUAUGCCUUUCGACCUUACGAAUGCAGGAGCCACUUAUCAGCGACUCAUGACAAAGAUAUUCUAUCUUAUGUUAGGCAAAACAACGAAAGUUUAUAUAGACGAUAUACUUGUAAAAAGCUAGAAACAGGAGGAUCACUAUGCAAAUUUACGACAAGCUUUUAACCUAUUGUCGCACUUUGGGAUGAAGUUAAAUCCAACUAAAUGUGCAUUUGAUGUAUCUAUUGGUAAGUUUUUGGGUUUCCUAGUCAUAGAGUGUGGUAUAGAAAUAGAUCCUACUCAAAUAAAGGAAGUACAAGAGUUACCUUUUCCACGUAAUAAAAAAGAAGUACAACAUUUAAUAGGAAAAAUGGUUGCAAUAGCCCGUUUUAUCUCCCAAUACACUGACCACCCGAAGCCUUUCUUUAAUGUAAUAAAGAAAACCAAGAUCUUUGAAUGGACAGUGGAGCACGAGGAUACACUCUUAGUUAUAAAGAACUAUUUGGUUUCGCCCCCAAUCUUAAAAAGUCCUCAAUUGGGAAAUCCCCUAUUUUUGUAUCUAGCAACAUCAAAAUUGGCAAUUAGUGCGGUUUUGUUUAAGUUGGGCCUUAAUGGAAGUCAAUUACCAGUCUAUUAUGUUAAUAAGGCGAUGCUACUGGCCGAGCAAAACAAUUCCCUACUAGAAAAGGUGGCGCUGGCCUUGUGAGUGAUCUCAAAGAAGUUGUGCCCCUACUUUUAGGUGUGCCAGGUGAAUGUUUUAUCUAAUGUCCUUUUUCGGGCUAUCUUACAUAGGCCUGAGUUGUUUGAGCAACUAGUAAAAUGGGCCACAUAGUUGAGUGAAUUUGGUUUGCUGUAUUUACCCCAUUUGUCACUCAAAUGACAAGUCUUAGCAGACUUUAUUGUUGAAUGGCCAGAUUCUAAAGUCGCUCAGACCAAAUGUCAAUGGAAUGCUGGAUUCUUUAUGUUGAUGGAGCGUCACGUGGUGUAGGAGCGGGAAUAAGGCUUGUCCUGCAAUCCCCCAUAGGAGAAUGCUUGGAGCAGGUAGUUCGGAUGGGUUUUUGCACUUUAAACAACAAGGCUGAGUAUGAAGUCAUGCUUGUCGACAUAGGCCUGGCAUUGUCAGUCCAAGCUAGCCACCUCAAUAUAUGGAGUGACUCACAGCUAGUGGUAAACCAAGUGCAAAGCGAUGAUGAAUUAAGAUAUGUUAGAAUGAUGAGGUAUCUUGAUAAAGUUAAGCUUCAGCUUCAAAAAUUCAAUGAGUGGAAGAUGACUCAGAUCACUAGGGAAGAGAAUGCUCGGGUAGAUGCAUUAGUCGAGGUAGCAAUUUCCUUAGCAGUUACGCAAAUAGUAACUUUGCCCAUUUAUUAUCAAGACAAUCCAUCAAUACUAAAAAAAGGCCAGGUAAGUCAGGUGUAUGAUGCCCAAGGAAGUUGGAUGGGACAGAUUAUUAAGUAUUUGGAAGUAGGGGAACUCCCAGAGGAUGAGCAUCAAGUGCAAUAACCACACUGGUCAAGGUCUGAUGCAACCAAGUCCUUCCUAGUUUCUCCUUUAUGAGGUAUUGAAGGUAUUUCCCAUCAUACUUGGGCCCAACUAUUGAUCUCAAUAUGUUCAUGAUCUAGCCAAAAAUACCCUUGCCAUUAAACAAAUUUUUUUUUUGUUAGUUACCAUAUGAAAUUCCAAAACAAAACAUAAUCCUAGGUUUUCACAUACUCUAAUAUUGUUAAUGUUACCAUAUAUAAUUUAGGAAUCAUAUUGGUUGUACAUAUAGGAAUGUUAAUGUUACCAUAUACAAUUUAGGAAUCAGUUAGACUCCAUGUAUAGGAUAUAUAUCAGUAUAUAGAUGGAUGCAGUGAAAUAUAAAAAAACUUAUCAGAGUUAUUAGAGCAAGGUUUCGACACCUUCCGAGUGGAGUUCGUGAUCUUCUACCAAUCAAAUACUUGGCAUCGAAAACAGUGUUGAUUGGGUUCAUCGCGACCUAGUUCUUGGCCGUUUCUAUUCCAAUUCUCUUGUGGGCUAUUUCCUUUGUCUCUUGGUUGCAUCAUGUCAUCAGAUAAGUUGGAAUCAUUUCCUAUUAGAUUUACUAGAAAAAAUUAUUGUGCUUGGGAGUUUCAAUUUAAAUUAUUUGUUAAAGGAAAAGAAUUAUGGGGUCAUAUUGAUGGAGUAAUCUUGCACCUCGUGAUGCCAAGGCUUUGUCUAAGUGGGAAGGUGAGGAUGCUCGGGUUAUGACUUGGAUCCUUAGAUCGGUUGAACCUUGUUCUCAAUAUGAGGUCUUAUAAAACUAUUGCUACUAUGUGGAAUUAUCUCCACAUGGUUUACAAUCAAGACAACUCUGCUAGGCAUUUUCAAUUGGAGUAUGAGAUGGCUAAUUUCACACAAGGAAGUCUCUCAAUUGAGGAAUAUUUUUCUGGUUUUCAAACUCUUUGGACUGAUUAUUCUGACAUUGUUUUUGCUAAUGUUCCCGCUAUAACUCUCUCUGUUGUCCAAGCAGUGCAUGUAACCAACAAGCGAGAUCAAUUCUUGAUGAAGCUACGACCCAACUUUGAAAUUGCAUGGUCUAAUAUGAUGAAUUGUCAUCCUGUACAAUCUCUGGAUGCCUGCUCAAGUGAACUUAUGCUUGAGGAGCAGCGUAUCAUAACUCAAGCUACCAUGGAACAUCGUGCUAAUGUUAGUGCACCUGUUUCAGUGGCUUAUGUAGCACAAGGCCAGAAUAAGGGUUGAGACAUGCGUGUUGUCCAGUGCUUUAGUUGUAAAGAUUUUGGUCACAUUGCUUAGGAUUGUCCCAAGAAGUUCUGUAACUACUGCAAGAAACAAGGUCAUAUCAUCUCUGCUUGUCCCAUUCAGUCUGAAAGGAAGUAGGGUACUGCUUAUCAUGCCUCCACCUAUGCCUCUAGUUCUGCUGCAUUGCCUGUUGCCUCGUCGGUUGUUCCUAUUCCUGCUCCUACAGUCUUAGAAAACUCGAACACACUCACUCCUGAAAUGGUACAACAAAUGAUCAUUUAUGCUUUUAAGCUCUUAGGUAAUCAUACGGUUUCUUCUAAGCCAUGGUAUUUUGACUCUGGAGCUUCUAACCAUAUGAUGAAUACUGUUAUUUUUCUUUCCAAUGUCAAAAAUUAUGAUGGAAAUCUGAAAAUUAACAUUGUUGAUGGUAAUUCUCUGCCUAUCAGUGCUGUUGGGGAUCUUUCAUCUUCCUUAACUGAUGUUUUUGUGUCUCCUGACCUCUCCACAAAUCUUAUUUCUGUUGGUCAAUUGGUUUAUAAUAAUUGUAAUGUCAAUUUCUCCCAUUCUGGUUGUGUUGUGCAGGAUCAAGUGUCCGAGAAGAUGAUCGCAAAGGGGCCUAAAGUGGGACGACUCUUUCCUCUUCAUGUUUCUCCUUCCACUAUUAUUCCUAGUUUUGCUUUACUUUCAUUUGCAUGUAAUGUUGUUAAUUCUGGACAUAAGAUGUGGCAUAGACGUCUUUGCCACCCAAACUGUGAUGUACUUCAUACUUUGUUUAAUUUUGGAUUAUUGGGAAAUAAAACAUGUUCUUCUCUUGAUCAUUCUUUCGAUUGUACGUCAUGCAAACUUGGAAAAAGUAAAGUUCUACCUUUUCUUCAUUCCAUAUCUAGUGCCUCACAAUGUUUUGAUAUUAUACAUAGUAAUGUUUGGGGGAUUGCACCUAUUGUUUCUCAUGCACAUUACAACUACUUUGUUACUUUCAUUAAUGACUUUAGUCGCUUUACUUGGGUUUAAUUCCUCCGAGCUAAGGCUGAAGUUUUUUCAAUCUUUAAGUGCUUUCUUGCACUUAUUGAGACUCAAUUCUCUGCUAGCAUCAAGGUCUUGCGCUCUGAUUCUGGCAGAGAAUACAUGUCUAACGAGUUUCAGGACUUUUUUCAAAGCAAAGGGAUCAUCUCUCAACGUUCUUGUCCUUCGACACCACAACAAAAUGGUGUUGUUGAGAAGAAAAAUCGCCAUCUUCUUGAUGUGGUAAGAACUUUUUUACUUGACUCAUUGGUUUCUCCUCGUUUUUGGUGUGAAGCACUUUCUACUGCAAUUCAUUUGAUCAAUCGCUUACUCUCUCCUAUGUUAAAUCAUGUAUUUCCUUUCUCUAAGUUCUUUGGUCAUUCUCCUUUAUAUUCUGAUCUUCAUACAUUUGGUUGUGUUUGUUUUGUGCAUCUACCUACUCAUGAACAACAUAAACUUACUGCUCAGUUUGUUAAGUGUGCUUUUCUUGGUUAUGCUAUUCCUCACAAAGGUUAUGUUUGUUAUGAUCCCCAUGCUCGUCAUAUACAAGUUUCUCAGAAUGUGAUUUUCUUUAACAAUCAAUAUUUCUCUCCAUUUCAUGUUGAGCUACCAUCUACAUCUGUAUCUCUUCUGCCUAGUUUUUCUGAAUCCCCAACAAUUGUGGAAAUGUUUAAACCUGGUUUUUUGUAUGAAAGAUAUAGUCAACAUGAGUCCGAUUCCACUUUCUCUGUGUCCUCUUCCGAUCUUGACCUGACGCCUGAUCCUGCUCCUGCUUCCACCACUCUUCGUUGGUCUACUCAUCUUUCUCGACCCCUUGAUUGGUAUGGAUUCUUCUCUCCUCUCUCUCUUAUUGCUACUUAAUCCACUAUUUGUAUUCCCUUUUGCUACAAACAUGCCAUGGAACAUGAGUGUUGGCAAAAUGCAAUGCAAGUAGAACUUCAAGCACUUGAGAAGAAUCAUACUUGGGAUAUUGUUCCUUGUCCUUCUACAAUCAAACCUAUUGGGAGUAAAUGGGUUUUCUCUAUAAAACUUUGUUCUGAUGGCUCUUUGGACCGGUACAAAGCUCACCUCGUAGCUCUGGGUAACAAGCAGGAAUAUGGGGUUGAUUAUGAGGGGACAUUUGCUCCUGUUGCUAAAAUGACCGUGGUUCGGACCAUCUUAGCUAUUGACGCUUCAUAGUCAUGGCAACUACAUUAGAUGGAUGUAAAGAAUGCUUUCCUUCAUGGUGAUCUCCAGGAAGAGAUUUACAUGAAGCUUCCCUCUCGUAUGAUUAAUUCUUCUCCUCAUGAUGUCUGUAAGCUAAAACAUUCUUUGUAUGGGCUCAAGCAAGCGCCCCGGGCUUGGUUUGAGAAGUUUCGCAGUACAAUUCUUUCUUUUAGUUUUACCCAAAGUCAGUAUGAUUCUUCCCUCUUCUUCCACACGUCUGUGUUGGGUAUAGUCCUUCUCUUGGCUUAUGUGGAUGAUAUUAUCAUUACUGGCACUAACUGUGGUUUGAUUACUAAGCUUCAGCGGAUGUUACAUACAACUUUCCAUAUGAAAGAACUUGGACAUCUCACAUACUUCUUAGGAUUAGAAGUUCAUCAUCGGGCUAGUGGUAUUUUCGUGAACCAACAUAAGUAUAUUCAAGAUCUUAUCACUUUGGCUAGUUUGGAGGACACUUAUUCUGUUGAUAAUCCUAUGGAGGUAAAUGUCAAAUACAGGAAAGAUGAAGGGGACCUUCUGGAUGAUCCUACUCUCUAUUGGCGCCUAGUUGGGAGUCUUAUCUACAUGACCACUACUCGACAUGAUAUCUCCUAUGCUGUUCAUCAGGCCAGUCAGUUUAUGACUUCUCCUCGACAUCUCCAUCUUGCUGUAGUUUGACACAUCAUCCGCUAUCUUCGAGGUUCACCUACUCGUGGGUUAUUCUUUCCUACCGGCUCCUCUCUUCAACUUGUUGCCUAUGGUGAUGUUGAUUGGGCUAGGUGUCUGGAUACACGUCGAUCUACUAUGGGUUGGUGUAUGUUUUUAGGUGAUGCCUUAAUUUCUUGAAGAUGUAAGAAACAAGAUUGUGUUUCUAAAUCCUCUAUUGAGGUUGAGUAUCCUGCCAUGUCUACUGCUUGUUAUGAAAUUAUAUGGCUACGCGGUCUUCUUGAGGAGCUUGGGUUUCCUCAGACUACUUCUACACCUCUUCAUGUUGAUAACACUAGUGCUAUUUAGAUUGCCACCAAUCCUAUUUUUCAUGAACGUACCAAGCACAUUGAGGUUGAUUGUCAUUUUAUUUGAGACACCUUGGAAAGUCGGGUGAUAUCUCUUCCUCAUAUCUCUUCUGAUCUCCAAGUGGCUGAUAUCGUCACCAAAGCUUUGACUUGACAGCGACAUCAAUUUCUUAUUGGCAAAUUGUUGCUGGUUGACUUACCAGCAUUAAUUUGAGGGGGGAUGUUAAUGUUACCAUUUACAAUUUAGGAAUCAUAUCGACUGUACAUAUAGGAAUGUUAAUGUUGCCAUAUACAAUUUAGAAAUCAUAUUGGCUGUACAUAUAGGAAAAGAUUGACGGAUUGGCUUACCAUGUAUUUGUUAAUGUUACCAUAUACAAUUUAGGAAUCAGUUAGACUUCGUGUAUAUGAUAUAUAUUAGUAUAUAGAUGGAUGCAGUGAAAUAUAAAAAAACUUAUCAGAGUUAUCCAUUUCUGUGGAGUUUUUUUUUUAGUAUUUUGACAUCUAUAUGAAUCAAUCUUUAAAAGAGAAGCAAGAACAAUCAAGUAUCAAAUACUAACUUCUCUGUGGAAAUAUUUUAGGGCCAUGCUCAAGAUAAAAGGGCUUGAUGUCUUGGGCUGCAAAUAGAGGACGUCUCAGAUCAUUCGGAGCAAACCGUUUAAGAAUUAAACCAGUCACGAACCGCCUAAACCGGCAGUCGGACCGGUGACCUAGUGGAAUGGGACGGUUCUAAUCAAACCGAACAGUUCUAGUUGGACCACCAUUUUAAAGGCUCCUUUGUAUAAAAAGAUUUGGCAAAAGCCCAUGCUAGGCCUUGUCUCAUAAUGACAAAGCCCAUACCCCACUCAACCAUAUUGUGGGCUAAGGCUUGAGCCCACCAGAUGAGGCAAUGCAUUAGCCUUCAAUAUGGAUAGCUUCUAUAGCCAUCCUAGGAGGUACAUAGUUUUUGUUAUCUAAUAUGCCAAACAAAAUAAUAUAUAUUAGAUUUAAAAAAAAUUUGUAAUAUUAAAUAAAAAUAAUAUAAUAUUUUAAAAAAUUAUAAAAUUAGUUUAAAUUUUCAUUUUUAAUAUAUUCACAUUAAAAUAUUUUGCAUAUUUCAUUUAAUAAAAUUAAAAAUAUCAAUAUGAUUUAAUUUGAUAAUAUUAUUGAUUUUUAAUUUAUUCAUAUAUAAUUUAAAAUUUUUAUAAUUAUUUUUAAUUUUAAUAAUAUAUAAAUUAUAUAUUUAUUACGUCACUGGUUCGACCGCCGGUCUGACCAAUGAACCGUGAACUGGUAACUUUUCCGGUUCGAUCACCGAUCCGGUUCUAAAAACAUUGGUGACCACACUUUCCUAUAUUUUUUGAAGACUUUAUGAUUGACGAGUAGGUAAUGUGAUAUGCUGAUGAAGUCCGCUUCUAGCACAGAUCCCCAUUAAUAGGAUAUUGUUGAAUUGGAGAAUGUUUCCACACGCUCAAAAUGGGGCGUUGUUUUAGCAUCAAGAAAUUGUCGUCUUCAUUAGCUUGUUGGAAUUGGGAUGUAUGACUGAUGACUUGUUAGGAUUUAUCUGAAAAUAAAGUCCAAGCUCUGUCUCUGUCUCUCUCUCUCUCUCUCUUAUAAGGACAGUGAUGAUGGUCCAAAGAAGAAUUCCGAAGCAUGCAGAGAUUCACAACUGCAAGUAAUUUACACACAGAGUGAAGGCGGCUGGCCAGAUUUAACAUGAGAAAAUCAUGAUUAAUACAUGAUUCUUCACCAAUAAUUGAGUUGAAUGAGUCUACUAUUCAAAUCACAUUGUUAAAAAGAAAAACAGAUAAUAAAGAUUCAAAUCACAUUAUUAAUGAGUGGGCCGGUCUCAUUUAAGAACACGAUUUGACAUGCAAAAUUAAUGGAUCCAUCCAUAUACAACAUCUACCACAACUCAUGAGAAGAGAUUCUGGUUGUUCUAAUAAUUCACCAUUUUUCUUCAUGGAAUUAGUUAUGAAAUAGUCCCAAUUUAGUACUAAUAGAGAGAGUAUCAAGGAAAAUAUUUGGUAGGUGGGCGGUGAAUCAAGUUAAUUAGAUGGUGAAGAAAAACUAAUGAGAGAUGAACUUAAUCAACAAGUUGUACCUCUUUUUUCUGUAUAAUAUGCUAGUUAAUCCAACUGUGUUAGACAUUGCUGCUACUUACAAGUUAUUUUACUUUAUUAUUCAUUUUUUAAUGUUGGGGGAGGUACUGUCGUUUCAUUGAAAACGAUGUUGUAUUACUUGGCAAACAAAGAUGGUGGUAAGUUUAGAAUAAUGCAAUAUAUGAUUUGCAUGCUUUAUUCCUUGGUAAUACUAUGAUUUUUACUAUAAUCCAACUGUGUUAGACAUUGCUGCUACUUAUAAUUGCGGAACAAAAGGUAAUAACUCUUGCUUGAAAUCAAAUUAAUUCCUGAUAUUCCUUUAUUUUUUAUAUGUACACAAAAUGGCCUUCAUCAUAAGUGCUCUGCAAACGAACUGUGUGCUCCUUGAAUGUGGAGAUAUGGCUGCUCCCACGAAGUUUCCAUACCACAUUUUGAAGUAUAGCUAGUUCUCGUUCUGAUAUUAAUCCACACUAAUGCUGGCAGCUUCCAAAACUGCAUAAUUCCAUGUUUUCCAUCUUUUUUUUUUCCCCUGUAUAUACACAUUAUAACGUCCAUGUUACAUGGUUAAUAACCAAAGGAAGAUAAAUUAAUGAACAUGCAAAUGAAUGCUCAUGCUUACAAGAUGAUUGUUUUGAUCUUCUAUGAUAGUGAAACGACGUUGAUCUCUUCUAUAUAUAUAUAAUUAGUACAACUAACAGUCUGCAUCCUUCUAUUCUUGUAUUUGUGUACUGGGGACAAAUCGUUCUUUGUAUUUGUGUACAAGGGACAAAUCAAAUCAUGAGGAUCACAUGACAACACGGCACCAUGCUCAUCACAAAUGUUGUUCAUUUGCUAGCUCAUGAAACAUAUGGUGUGGGCAACCAGGACAAAUCAACUAAUCAUAACAUGCACGACAUUAUGUUCAUGAAACAUAUGCUAAAUAUGGUGUAAUAAACUUAAAAAAAAAAUUAGAGAAAGAGCGUACGUAAGGGAAACAAAAAAAAAAAAAAAAAAAAAAAAAACUAAUUAAAAACAUGAUGAAGAUGACAAGAUGGUGAAAGAGAUUUUUCACCAAACAUUUGAUUAUUAACUAUAGAAACGUUUGACUAUGUAACACUGCUACCUUUUUUUAAUAUUGGGGUAGGUACUGUCGUUUCAUUGAAAAUGAUGUUGUAUUACUUGGCAAACAAAGAUGGUGGUAAGUUUUGAAUAAUGCAAUAAAUGAUUUGCAUGCUUUAUUCCUUGGUAAUAUUAUGAUUUUUUACAAAAAUAUUCUUUAAUUGACUUGGGCAGUGUCGGGUCCAGAAAGGCUGCAUCAGUGCCUAGUGAUUCUCAAUCAGAUGUAUAUCUGGACCAUUAGGGAACCAAGAUAAUAUUUUUGAUUGUGUCGCUAUUGUCCUUUAAAACUAUUUAUCCUUGCAUCUAAAUUAAUAAUUUGUUUUCUCAUGCUUGUAGUUUUUGAAAUAAAGUUAAUUCAGGUAGACCAGUUUUUAAUCAGACCUCCAUGCAACAUAUCUUCCCAUCCUACCCAAGAGAAGCUACUGAAAGCUCCCAUGACUGAAGAGAGACAACAAGGAUUCUAUCCUUUUGGAUCGACCUAGCACUAUCUUUUAGAUUCUAUCCAUCUAUUUGUUCUCAUCUUAUUUCUGGGAUAUAUAUAUAUAUAUAUGUUUCAACCCAUCUCAGUGUCUCUUGUAGAUUUAUAAAGGAUAAGUAUUAUUUCUAGUCCAUUCUAAUUAAUUGCCAUUCCCAUAAUUUAAGUUGAUACAAAAUUAGAACUUAUUCAAGAAAAUAAUGGAAAUAAUUCAAUCUAGCUUGUCAUUAAAAUGUUGUGAGAAAUAGAGGUCGCAUUAAAUCACAAUGAGUUUGAAUUGCAUAGACGCACGCACAAAAUCAGAACCAUAGAAGAAAUUCAGUGGAAUCUAUGGACUUACAAUACCUUAAUACUAGAAACGCUUAAAUUGGUUAUUAAAAAUAUCCCAUUUGGGAUUUAUUUUUACAAUAAGAAUAGUGAAUUAAAAGGCAGACAUUCAGAAACGGGACUCCAACUUAACUAGAAAUUCAUUACAACAGUAGGAAUCAUUCAUAUCAGACAACGACCAAUCCUUUAGAAGCGGCAGCAUGUCCAUGUGGUGACCUAGUAUCUCUACGUUGCUUCUCUUGGGAGAGUAGUCUUGCAAAACUGAAAAAUUAGAAGGAUUUUUUAUUAUCAUAUGAUUAGUUAAUUAACUAAGAAAGCUCUAGAAUAAAACUCUAAAAAUAGUUAGAUACCUUGUGAGAGCCUCCUCGUUGGUCUCGUGAUUUGAAGGCUCAAAGAUACCUGUAUCCAGGUUAACCCUUGAGACCCUUUUCUUUAACAACUCCUCACCAAUUUUCACAAGAUCAUCCAAAUUUUCCUUUGUGGCUAUGUCGACUGAUGAUGUUAUACCGCUCAAUGUAUCAUCCUGUAUUUACCCUUUGUGUCAGUAUCAGUGGUAGACAAGGAACAGAAGAAGCAAUUGACUUUCAGAUAUUUUUAGGACUGAGGAAAUUAUGAAGAAGAACAAAAUUUAAAUAAGAAAUUUGACUUUGUAAGUGACGGUAAAUUUAUGAAACCACAAGCAGCAAAGCUGUACCUGUAUCCGAAGAUAGCUUUUUUCCGAGUGAAAGGCUUGAAAAAGCUCUGAAAGGUGUAAGUCGAUCAUAUCUCCGCUUGCUUGGGUAAACACUUUCACUAAGGGGGUGGAACCACCACUGGUCAACCACCCCAACACACCCCACNNNNNNNNNNNNNNNNNNNNNNNNNNNNNNNNNNNNNNNNNNNNNNNNNNNNNNNNNNNNNNNNNNNNNNNNNNNNNNNNNNNNNNNNNNNNNNNNNNNNACUACCUUUGUAACAUGAGGAAUUGGAUCAUGACUGCAUUUAAAAGAAAGAUCAUGUUAAUAACUACAAAAAAUAUUGAAGUCUAGUUAAUUUUAUAUACAUAAAUACUAGCAUCCUGUCAUCUUAAUCAAGAUGUUCAUCAUGAUAUAUUUGUUACCUGUGCUGUGGGAAGAUCUUAGGGCAGUGAUCAAGGUAGAAGUCCUUGAUAUCUUUGGCAGAAAACAAGGGUCGGCCAGUGUUUUCAUUGGGAGUAGUUAGCAUGGCAGUCACGAGGCCACCGGUGCUUGUUCCUGCAAUCACAUCAAAAUAAUCUGAAAUUCUCGCGUCUUCACCAUCCAGCUUCUGCACCAUGGCCAAACAAUCUAGUGUUAGUACGUAUAAAAUAUAUCCAAUAUAGGAUAUAAGUUUCAGAUUAGGAAUAUGCUAAUUUUAAAAGGCAAAUGGAAAAGCCAUAUUUUGUUAUUAUCAUGUAAAACCUUAUAUUUCCUACCUGAAGCUCAGACUCCAGGAAGCCAAGGACUGUUCCUGGGAUAAGCCCUCUUAUUCCACCUCCAUCGAUGCUGAGAAUGGUGAUUAGGUUUCCAUAAGUUGGAGGCUGUAGGGGUGAUUUUGGUCCUUCUCCCAUUAGGGAUGGAGUGAUGGAGGUAUGAACUUGAGUGAUGGAGGUAUGAACUUGAGUGAUAGAGGAGAGAAAAUGAGAGACUUAGAAUAGAAUUGAAGUUUCUGCAGGAGACUUAGAAAUGUAGAGAGAUUUGGAGUUCUCUUUGAUAACUAGGCAGGAGUAUUUAUAGACUCCUUAGCAUAUAUCCCUCAUUUUUCUUGCCCAUACUUUUCUAAAUGGACCCGGGAUUCAUCAUUCGGGAUAAGUAGAAAAGUCCACAAGCAAACAGUAUCUUCUUGCUUCAUAGAAGCUAGCCAAAUGGUCAUAGACAUGACUCCUGGCAACUGUAGGUAAGACCAAAGAGAAUAGCUGGUAAGAAGGAUUAGGUGACUCAAUAAAGGUUGAGAUAGGAUGAAUUUUCCUAACUAAUGGAGUUUGUUAACAGGUCAUGGAAACACUAAGUCUUAUGAAAUGACUCUGGUUUCUAGCUAUGUCUGGUGCAAAGAAUCGUGAUGGAGACAAGCCUAAAUGCGCAUACCAAACAAAAAUUUAUUAUUCAAUGCGCACAAUUUUGUGUUCGUAAAUGGAUGCGCUUGACUGGGGAUGGCGAAGAUUUUGAAAGAACACCAACUAGGGCAACGAAAAGUACUGGCCAACGCGGCACUUGCACUGUGAAUGACAAGGGACGGAUAAUUCAAUGUCAAGCAGCAAGGUUUUACAUAAUUUCCUGUUAGACAUGAUUUUUUUGACCUAUUAACCUCAUGCUUUUCAUACUUAAUAUCUGUAUUUGUACACACCAUCAUUGGCUUCUAUAGUUUGUAGAAAACUACAAACUAUUUUUUGUAAUUACAGUUCUAAGUCCUGUGAAUUUUAGAUGAUGUGCAGUGCGAAGACUUGGUUGACUGUUAGUUACUGAGGUUUUCCCACAUCUCCCAAAUGUUAAAAUGAUGAAAUUAUUGCCUAAGAAGCACCUGUUGCAGAAUCAUAUUUGAAGGUAAGAUAGCAAAUUAUAGCUAACUAAAAAUAGGUUGUAUUAUAUUAAACUACAAAAAGUUUUCAGUACUUUUAUCUUUAUCAAUCUGUGUUAGGCACUUAUUUAGCAAGGUUGGAAGUAUGAAGGGUGGCAGCAUCCUUAAUGGACUUCACUUUAUGUCGACCUAACGUGGUCAAUUUGUAUUUAAAGAUUAACUUCACAUCCAUGAACGAAAAAAUCAUGUUUGUUUAUCAUGGUUAGGCAAAGAUGCAACGCAUCUGUGAAGUGAAAAAAAGAAAGGACUGGUCAACCAAGAAAAUCUGUUGGUUGCCCUAGUGAAUUUGUGAACAAUUCACUGGAAGGUUCAAAUUUCUGACACAGCAUGGCCUAUUCACUUUCAUCUUGAGCUUAAUCUAGAACAAAAAUAAUACUACUACAGCCUAAUUAGAACAGCUCUAAAGAGUUGGGAAUUGAUGCUGUAAAUACUUUGUUCCUUAUGGUCUUUGCAUGUUAAUCUUAGCUGCUGGGCUUAGCUGGGCAUUAAUAUUCAGAAAUUCUGAGAAGUCCAUUGCCUGUAUUUCAAAUCCCAAAUUUGAUCCAAGCCAUAUAUAACUUAAUUGAAAACAGUAUAGAUUUGAUCUUUUCAAUCAGUGCCCUUGACCAUUCCACCGUUCCAAAGCCAUCCCUUUGUUUCUAUUUCAUGGAAGCUAACUAUCUAUGCUGUAAUGCCAUCAAUCCAUUCCUGACUCUUUGUGAUGCUUAAUUUAUAACCUCCGAAGUCCAUUUGCUUACAUUCAUGGAAAUAAAUAAUGGAAGACCAUCGCACAAAAUUCUCUCCACGAGCCAUUCCUUCAGUGUUUCUUGGUUACCCACCUGGUUAUAAAGGUUACAAGUUGUUGAAUCUCUCCACCAAUGCCAUAUGCAUUAGCCGUGAUGUAGUUUUCCAUGAAUUUCUAUUUCCUUUUCGGUCCAUUGAUUCAAACUUUUCCUCUUGUGAUUUUUUUUUAAUCGAGUUCUUCCUUCUUCCAUUCACAAUCUUUUUUUUUUUUGUUUCUAAUGAUCCAAAACUUAUCUCACCCCAUACAGUCUUUACCAAACUUGCUGUCCCUUCCACUUCUCGUCCUGUUUGCCUCCCUAAACCACCAUUAUAUCUCCAAGGUUAUCAUUGUUAUUCCACAGUUUAAUCUACAUCUUCUGUAACAUAUCCUCUUUCUAGUGUUCUUGGCUAUGGUAAGCUCUCCUCUUCUCAUCAUGCUCUUGUUCAUGCCAUUUCUUCCCACAUUGAACCAACUUCCUUCUCUCAAGUUGUUGUGAUUCUAGAGUGGUACCAAGCUAUGCAGGCUAAACUUCAAGCUCUUAAACAAAAUGGUACAUGGUCUUUGACAUCUCUUCCUCCCGUCAAACAUCCCAUGGGAUGUAAAUAGGUCUACAAGCUCAAAUUUUGAGCUGAUGGUUCUCUUGAGCGUCACAAAGCUUGUCUUGUUGCAAAGGGAUAUACUCAACAAGAGGGUGUAGAUUAUCUUGACACCUUCUCUCCCAUAGCAAAAUUAGUCAUUGUCAAGUUUUUUUUUUUUUGGCUCUUGUUGUGAUUCAUGGCUGGUUUCUCACUCAACUUGAUGUUGACAAUGCAUUCCUUCAUGGUGAUAUGACCUAAGGAGUUUACAUGUCCCUUCCUCUAAGGUAUCACCGUGAGGGGGAGUCCUUACCUUCCAAUGUUGUUUGCAAGCUUUACAAGUCAAUUUAUGGGUUGAAACAAGCUUCUGGAUAGUGGUUUGUAAAAUUUUAUGGUAUUCUGUUAGCUAAAGGUUUCACACAAUCAACUGUGGAUCAUUCCUUGUACGUUUACCAAAUAUGAUGGUGACUCCCUUAUUGCCUUAUUGGCAUAUGUUGAUGACGUUGUCAUUGUGAUCAACAAUUCCAACCAUAUUGAAGAUCUCAAAAGGUUUCUUGACAACCAAUUUAAGCUCAAAGACCUUGGAUAACUUAAAUAUUUCCUUGGUCUCAGAAGUUCCUAGGACAAGUAAGGGGAUUUCAGUUAGCCAAAUACAUCACGCUCUUCAAUUGCUAUCUGAUAUAGGUUUUUUGGGAUGUAAACCUACAUGUACAUGAAUCGAAGCUAAUAUCCAACUUUCUCAAGAUGAUGGGGAGAUUCUUGAAGAUGCUGGAUUGUAUAGGUGAUUGAUUAGCAAGCUCCUAUAUCUCACAAUCGUGCAACCUGAUCUAUCUUACUCAGUUAAUCGACUUAGUCAGUAUCUUGCCAACCCAAGAUCUACUCACUUGCAAGCUGUUCAUCGAAUUUUACAAUAUAUUAAAGGUACAAUUGGCCAAGGUAUGUACUUUCCUUUUUCUUCAACAACCCAACUCAAAGCCUUUACUGACUCAGAUUGGGGUGCUGUGCUUGUAAAGAUAUAAGAAGAUCCAUCAAUGGGUUUUGCAUUUUUCUUGGAGAAUCAUUGAUUUCAUGGAAGUUUAGGAAACAAAGUACAGUUUCACGCUCAUUAGCUGAGGCAGAAUAUCAAGCAAUGGAAAAUACCACUUGUGAACUAAUCUGAUUGAUGUCUUUCCUUCCUGAUUUUUGCAUUGAACACAAACAACCAACUAUAUUAUUCUGUGACAAUGAGGCAGCACUUCACAUUGCUGCCAAUCUUGUGUUUCACGAACAGACCAAACAUAUAGAAAUUGAUUGCCAUCUUGUUUGUGAGAUGAUACAAACAGGUUGUCUCAAAACAAUGCAUGUAUCUUCUCAACAUCAAAUUGCAGAUCUCCUUACCAAGGCUCUCUUACCAACACAGUUUAAAUUUCUUUUCAACAAGAUGGGAAUUCACAAUAUUCAUUCUCCAAGGGGGAGUACUCGAAUAACAGGGUAUUUUUGUAUUGGUAAUAAAUCCGUUGAAUUUUCUGUUUUGUAAUCUAGUGAGUCAGUUAUGGGUGUAGUUCUCUAGGCUCUAUAUAUAGACAUGCUUUUGGGUAUUUUGAACUGAUCUUCAGAAAACAUGAAUGAAUAACAGAUUUUCGUUGUAAACCCUUUCCCUUUUUCUUCAGAAACAACUAACAAUAUUGAAACCCUUAAUUAACUAGCAUUUUUAUUUACUCUGGAUGAAGAUGGGGCUGAAGGAAGAGUGCUUGAAGUUAAUUUCCUUUGUAACCCAUCCAUUUUGCUUCAGCUAAGAUGAAGGAAGAAGAGAAAUCAGCCAAUUGGAGUUAAGGUAGAUUCAAUUGGAGUUAGGGUUCUCUUACUUUAGCUUAUUGGAUCCCUAGACCCAGCUAAUUAACCAGGAGCACCACCCACCAGCAGUUUAUGUCCAUUGAUAAAUACAAUCCUAGUUAGUUCUACACUGCCACGACCUUAACCCCUGCCUUGAACACCAGACCUUGCUGUCCGGGAACGCUGGCCAGUAAUGGUUAAUAGAGUCCUAGGGAAACCACAGAAAAAUAAGACAUUCAUAGAUUUUUACAUACGUUCAUAGACUCUUGUAUUAACAUUUUUGACUCGUGUAACAUUUGAGGAAAAAAGUGUAAAAAGAAAAUGAAGAAGGAAAUUAAUAGAAGAAAAGAAAAUAUGAAGAAAAAUAAAUAAAAUUUUAAAAUUAAUUAAUUAUUUUUAUAUAUUUCUUUAAAAUUUUAACUAAUUUUAAAAAUAUUUUAAUUUUUUAGUAUUUUUUUAUUAUAAUUUCAAAUUAAAAAAUUAUAUUAAACUUUUUAUUUUUUAUUUUUUAUUAUAAUUUCGAAUAAAAAAUUUCAGCACCUUAGUUUCUUCGGAGAUUUCUCUCUUCAAAUUCCUCUAUUCCCUUCAAAUUAUGUUCUCUCCAGUUCCCAUGGUUGGAACAGCAGCCAGUACUUGGGUAUGCUAUGUCAUUUUGAUGGUGGUGGCGUUUUGGUGAGUUGUUUGUCACAAGCGCUCUGAGGCUGGUGGAUGUAGGUUGGUGGUGUAGUGGGGUUGGUGUGGCACUAUUGUGUUGUAGGUGGGGAUUGAAAUGCUUAAAUUCUGAUUCAAGCUCUCUCUCAUGUCUUUAUUCUUGGACUUUCAGCGCCUAUUUCUUCCGCCACAAUGUGUUUAUAUCAUUUGUUAAUCUGAGACUACUAUUAUGUGAUUCAUGAAAUUUUUGGAAUGAGGUAGUGCACAAUGUGUUUAUAUCUAUGAAGUGUGGAUUUUACCAUUAGCUAGAUACAAGCAACAGGGAAGUGCAAGAUAAUAUGUGUUCGUGUGUGCACCAGAAAAGAAUUUUAACCAGGGUGAAAUUCAAACUGUGGUUGUGGGCUAUAUCUACCGUGCUUCAAUUUUUUGAUAGGGAUAUUUGAUCAACAACUUUUGAAAAGUUUAUGAAUUCAACAAAAUAUCUCUUCAAUAUUAACAUUGCCUUGAAAAUGAUGAAGAAAUACAUCACAUUGACAAUCUUGUCAGGCUGUGCAGGAGAUAUAGUCCUUCUGAAACUUUCACAAUAUUACCCACCAUCAAACCUAAGAUAAUAUUUCACCCAACUUGCCUCUUCUGUUUUUGAUGAAGUAUCACAAUCCGUGAUGGUGUGGGCUCUUGCAUUAAAUUGUGUUUAAGCAUCAUGUCUAAUUUGUUUCAUUUGUUUUGCGAGUGUCAAACAUAUACAACUUUUUUCAUUUUUCGGAUUAAACAAGUUGGUUUCUAGGGAGGAUACUAGGUUUUGUGAUAGUAUGAAGCUAUUUGAUGUUUUCAGUGUGUAAAGAAGAAGUUAGAGGACUCCCUGUACUCUUUUGAUGAAGUAUGUAUGGGCAUUGAAGUCUUGAACGUUAAGCAAAUAAAGAAGUUGUAUAUUGAUAUAAUAAUAUGAGGCAUUUACAUAUGUAACCUUAUGGAGAUCUUUCUGGUCCGCUUAAUUUCAAUGAUGUGUAUUUGCUUUGAAUUUGGGUUCUUGGAUAUGGUCUCAGUUGGAUAUGGCCAUCUUUGGAGGAAUACAAUGUAUGAUCUCAAAUUUAACAGUAUCCAUUUUCUUUGGCAAGAAGAUGAUCUCAUAGAGAUAGUGUGGGAACUUUAGGUAAGAGGACUCUCAAAGAAUUGUAGGUAAGAAUAGUUAGGUGAAGUGAUCAAGCUGAACAUGAGAUGGAUUAUCCUAACCAGUCAAAAACACUAUGCGACAAAGGCCAUACUUUGUUCAUAAAUAACUGUGGUUCAAGUGUCUAGCGACAUGAGAAGGGGGACAUACCUGGUUGUUGCGAUCAAGAAUUGGUAAUUGGCAUUCUGAACAUACUUUAUUAUCAUUAAUUUUUUGUGAGAGGUGGUGCCUUAUCUGGUUGCGGAGGAGUCAAUUGGUGCGGCGAUUAGUAGGUAAUGGAAUUUCCACAUGCCAACAGCCAAUAAUACUAAUGACCAUGAAAGCGUCAAUCAGGGUGGCGCUGAUUGCAGGGCAACCUUGUGCAUCAAGAAUGAUUAGUACUAGAGAAUUCAACAAAUUAAGGUAUACCAUUCUGUUAUUCUUCCAUAAGACUUUCAACGCUGAAUGGGAGAAUAGGUUGGUUUUGACAACUUAGACUGUAGAAGUCUAAGCUUCCAUCUCGUUUUAGCCUAACUUUUUCCUUGUCCAAUAGUUUAUAUUUUCUUUCUUAUUUUCAGUAAAUUUUUUAUGCUAAAAACAUUGGCUUGUUCACACAUUAAUUCUAAUUAAACAGCAUGCAUGACAAUAAAAUACCACUACAUGUUUUUCAGUUGCAUCUCUUUCAGCAUGUUUCAUAAUUUCGAAAUUUAAAAGAAAAAUCCUAUUCCUUUUUCCCCUUAAUCACUGCACCAUGCAUUCAAAGUAGUAAUUCUGUUUUGAGCAAGAUUUGCAUUUCAUAUGCAUAACAACUUCCAUAUGCAGUUAGUGCUCCUUGUGUGACAAAUGGGGUUGAGAGUUGGGGUAUGCUUAUCCUUUUACUGUCAUGGUGAACUGAGAAUGGUUAGUUGUCCAUAAGCUCAAGGGCUUUGUUGGGAGGAAGAGGAAGAAGAAGUCCUUUUACUGUCAUAGAAAACUGAGAAUGGUUAGGUCCAUGAGCUCUAGGUAUUUUCUGGGAAGAGGAAGGCUAAAAGGAAGAAAAAGAAGAUACAACUGAUGUACGAAGAAGAAUCGUUGAAUGGGCACCUAGCCUUCACCGUAUCUUAUUUGAUAAUUGCAACUGGGACUAUAUAUAACUUGAAUAUUAAGGCAUACUACUCAAAUUUUCCACACUUGACCUAACAAAUAAAAUAAGAUAAUCGUGGAAGAUGCUAGCGUAUAUAUCCUAAACUGAUCUAGGUAUCCUAUCCUAAACUACUUUAAAUGUUAAUUAAGGAAUGCAACAUCACUUAAAUAUUGUUGUCUUUCAAACAAGGCACACAACACAUCAAGUUAUCACACUACAUGGCAUUUAUUUAAUAAUAUACUAAUUAAUUGAACUGGAACUGACAAACUUCAAUUUAAGAUUAUUUCUGAUUAAUUUGCUGCACAUCCAUCUGGGAUUUGAAAUCACGAAGGCGUUUCUCUUGUGACAGUACUUCUGCAAACCUGUGACAUUGAGAGCAAUUCGAUCAGUAUUAAUGAAUGAUAGAAGAACAGGUGGCAUAUGUAGAGGGGCUUGUUUAUUAAUCCGGCAUAUUGUUGUUUAUGAUCACAUGCGUUCUCAUCUGAAAUGAAAUUACUAUAUAGUUUUGAUUCAAUAAUUAGUGGACAGAAUUUUAUACAGUAAACAGAUUUACAAUGAGAACUGAAUCUAAGACUAAUUUGAUACCUCAUGAGAGCCUCUUCAUUUGUUUGUUCACUUGAAGGCUCCAAAUUUGAUACCACAAUCAGUUGGCUUUAUAGAAAAGAAAUGAGGAUUUCCCCCACAAAUCUCGUUAGUCACUUCGCCACUGGAAAUUAAAGCCUGAAAGGGAUCAAUAGGAGGUCACAAUUAUUAUAACAAUUCAUCACUCAUUUGUGUUUCAGUAAGAGAUAUACAAUACCGGAUUAUUGGAAGCUACUCCAUCAAUAAGAUUGAAAUUUUCUAACUCUCCCUGUGACAUAAUCUUUGAGAGAUAAGUUGGAGCAGCUAGCUGAAGUUCCUAUGCAUAUCACCGAGAGUAAGGCAUCUAUGCUUGGGUGCUGUUUGACCUAGAUCACCAUGAAUAUCAAUAGUAAGUAAGUUUCUUUUCUGAUAAUGAGGACCAUGAAAAAAAAUGGUGAAAUAGUACAUUCCAAAGAUUUUUGUAUCCAUAACUAACUAAACCUUAAUGUUGGAGAAGAUGGUGAUGAACUACCAAUUUUCUUAAAAACUUAAGUUUGAAGGAUUUGAGUUCAAUAUGCAUAUCAUGCUCCUUAACACCCUCAUGUGAUCCUUAACACCUUCCCUCACAUGCGGUCCCAUCCCUGCACGCGAAGAGAUAAACAAAAUUUGGAUUCAUAUUUAGAAAAACAAACAGGAGAUAUGCAGAUUAAGACCUCCAACCAAACUAAGCUUUAAUACCAUCUUGAACUACUAACUUUUCAAAAAGCUUAAACUUAUAGUAUUUGGGUUCAGUAUGCAUAUCAAAUGAUGGUUAUUCUUUUGUAAUAGGAUGUAAUUAUUCUUUUGUAAUAGGAUGCAUAUUAGGUCUCAUAACCAUUCUUUUACUCAAAGGGUGUCGUAAGUUGACCCUAAGUUAAAUUAUUCUUAAAUUGUUAACUUAAAAUCUUAUUACUUUUUUUUUUUUUUAAAUGUUAAGGUUGUUUGGUAAAGCUAACUUAAAAUCUAUUUUAAAUUAUCAAAUAUUCGUUUUUGUAAUAUUUAGAUUUUCUUAUAAAAUAAAGAAAGUUAUUAAAAAUAUUUUCAUAAAUAUUUUAACUCAUGAGUGAAAAAGGUUAUAAGAUAUAUAUAUGAAGACUAAUAUGUGGUGAAUGGCCAUAUAAUAAAGAAUGGUUGGGAAUCAAUAGUCAUAUCUAGUUUUUGGCCUCUAAUACUUUCUAUGACAUAAUGAUUAAAAUGGUAGACUGUUUUAUUUUUAUAAAGCUUUCGCUAGCAUAACACUACUUCUAACCUAAAAAAUGUAGAAAAUUUUUCAAAAUUAUUUCAAAAUAUGCUUAAUGUUGUGGAAAAGAAACUAAAAUAUUUCAAAACAUUCUAACCUAAAUGUUUUAUAUAUAUUCUCUGUAAUUUCUCUUAAAAACCCCUCCAUAUUCCUCUUUAAUGUUGUGGAAAAGAAACUAAAAUAAAUACGUUAAUGCAUAUGACAAUGUUUCUACUUAAAGUGUAUUUAAUAUAAAUAUUUUUUCUAUUAGUAUUUUUAGGAAAACCAUUUAUCAUUUAUUAAAUGUUUCUUUAAAAAGUGCUAGCUAUAAGUUAAUUUUUCAUAUUUUAAAAAUAUUUUCUUAAUUUUAUCAAAUUCUAUUUUAAUUUUCAAAAAUAAUUUUUUAAAUUAAAAAUACUUUCCAAAAUCAUGACACCAUCGAAUAAAUAUUUAUCAUAGUUAUCAGUUUAAUCACCACAUAAAAAGUUGAUGUGGUCCAAAAUGAUGUAGGUAGGUAGGUGAGCGGGAUUGAAUAAGCAUUUGGAUUGUAAAUUGUUCACUGUUUUUUAAAGUUGUGUAGUGAUAAUUUUUAAAGAAAAGUCGCUCCAAGAACCCUACUUUGACAUGCAGUAGAAUAUAGAGAUGAAAUAUGUGCAAAUGAUCAUCCACAUAUUAUUAAAUAAUUUAUACCUGAAGUUGAGAUUCCAGGCAAGCAAGGAUAGUUGCAGGAAUGAUGCCCCUGAUACCACCUCCAUCAAUACUAAGAAUGGUGACUAGGUUACCAUAAGUUGGGGGCUGGACUUGAGGUAAGAGUGAUUUCUCCAUCUGAAAAAUGAUAAUUAUAGGAUUGUAUGCACUAACUUACAACAAUAAACUAAGAAAUUUCCAUCUUCAUUUGCUUGUUGGAAUUGUGAUGUAUGACUGAUGACUUGUUAGGAUUUAUCUGAAAAUAAAGUCUAAGCUUGCUGCUUCUUCUAGGGUAGCAUACCAUAUAAAGCUCUCUCUCUCUCUCUCUCAUAAGGACAGUGAUGAUUCUUUGUGAUGUAAUUAACAAUGCAUUCCUGAUUCUUUGUGAUGCUUUAUAACCUGGGAAGUCCAUUUGCUUACCAUUUAUCACAUAUAUCGACGUGAUCUGAUCAAGGCAAUAAAUAAUGGCAAUCCUUUAUAGCCCAGCUACUUUUGUUCAAGGGUUUUCUUUUACCAUGCGUACCUUUAAUAUCUCAAAUUAUGUGCAUCAAUUAACAUAUAUGAGAUAGGGGUUCAUGUCUUCCAAGUAUGCACAACUUUCUACCAAAAAGUCUCGCGUGUGGAGGUAUGAUUUAAGGGCUUGGAUGAAAUGAGAAAAAUGAUGGCAAAAUUCUGAAGUUGUUAAAACACUGACUUAACUCGCAUUUUCAUUUACUUUGGAUGAAGAUGGGGCUGAAGGAAAAGUGCUUGAAGUUUUCUUAGUAAUCCAUCCAUUUUGCUUCACCCAAUUAGAUGAAGGGAGAAGCGCAAAUGUAGAAGGUAGAUUCACUUGGAGUUUCUCUUACUUUACCUUAUCGGAUCCCUAGACCUAGCCAAUUAAUUAACCAGGACCACCACCCACCAGUGGUUUAUGUCCAUUUAUAAAUACAAUCAAUUAUAUGCUGCCACGUGCUUCACUGUAACCCCUGCCCUGUAAACCGGUCCUUGCUGUCUGGAAACGCUGCCCAGCAAUGGUUUAAUAUAGUAUGAGAGAAACCACAGAAAAAUCUAUAGGACAUUCAUAAAUUUUUAAGAAUAUGCCUCGAAGACUUACAAUGGUCAAUAGCUGACUACUCUGCCCAUAUGAUUCUUCGUCUGUGCCACACACGGAUCUUUUUAAUUAUUUCGUGUUAAACAAACCCGACUUUGUAGUUUCUGACUUCUUCAGGUUUUUGCUUGUUCCACAUCCAGCAGGUUUUUAACUUUUAUGGAGUCAACAAUUUCAAGCAAGUGACAUCUUAAACGUUGUUUUCUGAAAAAAAAAAAUUUUAAAAAUCAGAAAUCUAACUCACAUAUAUCCAAUAGAAGAUUGUAGCAAAAUUGAAUUGCAAACCAAACACAAAAGAAGUCCAAAAGAAUAUUUCAUUCUUUCACAGUUCAUUAGCAAUAUUACAGUCUACCCGUGAUUAUUCACUCUCUAAACAAUGGUUAUGAAUCUAAAUUAAGGCCGAUUGCAGCUAACCAAACCCAAGCUAAGAGAAAGUUUAUUACAGCACAAUCAAUUAUAGAAGAAAAUAGCUAAUUUUAAAUUGAUGAUGCCCUACAUGCUGCAUGUCCAUGAGGCGACUUAGCUAUGAAGCUUCUUUUCUUGGGAGAGCAGGUUUGCAAACCUGCAGGAUUGAAAGCUACUUAUUGUGAUUGUGAUAUUGAUUCAGAAAAUAAAAAAUAAAAAAUGUAUUUCUACAAACCUUAUGCGAGCCUCUUCAUUGGUCUCCUGAUUAGUAGGAACAAAGAUACCCGACUCCACAUUAAAUUCAUCCUUGAAACUGGUUUCUUUAGCAGUCGUUCCCCAACUUUUACAAGAUUUUUUACUUUCUUCCAUGGCAAUAUCAACUGAAGAUACUAGUCCUUUUAGGUAUCAUCCAACAGUUUAAUUUUUAUUUGAAGGUGUCAAAACUAGUGUUAUGGUGGACCAGAAAACAAGGAAGAAAAUCAUUUUUCAUCUCCAAGAAUAUAGAGGAUUUUAACAACAAUAGGUUUGAUGUUGUAUCAAUGCUUGUAUAAAGACGUGCAUGAGCAUGUAUGCCUACCUGAAUCCGAAGGUAAUUCUUUCCCGAGAGAAGGGCUUGAAAAACCAUGGAAAUAUGGAAGUCUACCAUAUCUGUGCUUGCUUGAGUAAACACAUUCACUAAUGGGGUGAAACCAAUACUAGUUAACCAUCCCAAUAUAUAUGGAAGUCAACCAUAUCCAUAACUGUUUGUCUUUAAGUUUUUCCUUUACAAGGCUUUGCAAAAACUUUCCAACAUAUUUUGGACUUAGUAAGGCUUUUGAUUAUCUUUAUAACUUUCAUUUAGGAAAAAAAAAAAAAAAGAAGAAAAAAUCAUGUUAACAACUAUAAAAAUAGUAACUUUGUGACAUUCAAUUCAACAUAAUUAUACUGGUUAAUGAAUUCUUUGGUUGUGGACAAAUUUUAGGAGACUGAUUAAGGUAGAGAUUCUCAAUGCCUUUGGCGGCAAACAUGGGGCAAUUGUCUUACUAGGUGCAGUUAGCAUGACAGUCACAAGACCACCUGUGCUUGUCCCAGCAUCAUAUCAAAAUAGUUUACAAUUCUUCAAUCCCCUCCAUCCAACUUCUAAACCUAGUAGAAACCACUUAGAGUUAAUACUUGCAUUAUAAGAACCACUGUUAACAUCAACACAAAUGAAGUGGUAAUAUAGAAAAUUGUUGCAGCUUCAAAAACGCCCUCCAUUUAAAUAUACACAGGUGAAAAAUGGCAUAAAUGCCAUAAUUCUGGUUGAAUUGAUAUGGCAGAGGUAGCUUGUAGAUAUGAAUGUCAUGAUUAGUAUCACUCUUCAUAUAUGGAAUAGAAGAGUGAUGCUCCUGAUGCUUGGGGAGCUUGUUGAUAUUUAGAUCUUACCUGAAGUUCAGACUCUAGAAAGUUAAGGGUAGUUAAUUCCUAGGAUAAUCCUUUUUAUCCCACCUUCAUCAAUGUUGAGGAUGGUAAUUAAUUAGAUUCCCAUAUGUUGGAGGUUGCUAGGGUGAUUUUAAUUUGCUCCUUCCAUGAUGGUAUGAAGUAAAAGAGAUAGAUGUAUAGACUUUCUUUAGAAAAAAUUGUAAGAUCUUGAAAUAAAUUUUAAUAGAAAAAGAAAUUGUAAGACUGAAGUACUCUUUCAUAAAGCAUGAGAUAUUAAAGUUCUACCAAGUUAAGAGAAAGAAUCUAUGAAUAUGGAAGACUUACAUAACAUGGGUAUCUAUGUUUAUAGCAUGAUAUGUAUUUUAAUUUUUCCCCUAAGUUUCAUUAGUGCACCGUCUAUACUUAAUUCUUUGACUUUGUCCCUACAUGUACUUUCCUUGAUGUGGCUUUGGUUGGAGAUGAUGAUUACUAACAUGGUUAUCAUUCAAUGAAAAACAACUGUUAAAUCAUUUUAUCAUAAUGGAAAGAUGGCCCUUGUAGGCACUCAAUAUGGGAAUUGUAGGUAGAGUACUACUCUAAGAGAAUUUUAGGUAAGACUAAUUAGGUAAAUGUAUAUAGCUAAAAAUGGAAUGCAUCAAUCCAACCAAACUAUUACGCUAAGCAACAAAGGCCACAAUUUCUAAAUAAAUAACUUAACGUGAAUUGUAGUAUCUAGCAUGUUUAAAUGAAAACAUUCUUGCUUGCAUGUUGAAUUCAAGAAAUUAGUUUGUAUUCUAAAUGUCGUUUUUUCUUUUUUUGUAAUAGGUGGCGCCUAUGAUUCGUGCCCAAUUGGUGUCUCAGCUGAUUCGUGUCCAGCUGGUGCUCCUUGAUUGAGGGAUUAAUCAACAAAAUUUAUAACCUAUUACACCAUAUACUAGGGUAGCAAAGACAAAGCUACUAUAGCAAAGUGGCUCUAGGAUCGUUCACUGGGAUGGGUUUUCACUUCACAAAUGAUAUUAAUUCAAAGUUGAAUUGGUGCCUUUUCAUUUCAAGGUUAGCUUUAAAAGAAAACAUAAAAUUGAAUUGGAAAAGGUUUGGUUUUAAACUAACCAAAAAUAGUAACUGAUUUUACUUACAAAGAAAAGUGUUUCUUGGAGUUUAGAUCACUAGGCUCAGGUUCCUCAUACAAAAAGGAGAGUUCCGGUCACUUGUUUCUUUUCCUCGCAUUAGAGAAUUAACAUAUAGUUUCUUCUCCAACCGGUGUUAUACAGAUGCUUCCCAUUAAUGGGUUCAAACACUAAAUCCCUCUCACUGAUGCAUCUUGCAAUGGCUCGUGCCUCUCACCUAGCAUUUGCCAUUCAAGGUGAUCUUUAACCUUGGACUUCCCUUCUCAAGCUCGCAAGAGAUAACUAAUGGAUGUCUCCUUGGAGUCCAAAAGCUUACCAAGUGUUGGCUAUUCUAGAAAAUCCUACCUUCAAACCACCUACCAAAGGCUCGCAAGGGGUAAACUAGUGCAUCUCCAUGGACGGAGAUCACUUGCCUUACCAAGUGUUGGCCCAGGUGAUUUAAAGGCGUUUUAAGUUAACUAAAAACAUAGAAAUCACUAACGGGUUACACUUUCUCUUCAUUAAAAACUAAAACAACAAAACUUCCAAAUUAUGCAUGUGGAAACUUACCCGGCUUUCCUCACUCCAAGAGACAAAAAGCUUAGCCUCUCAUCCUCUGUGGAAAAAUCCUCAGAGUUUGGUUGGCUAGAAAAUGAAAAUGAAAGAGAAGACAAGAAUAUAUAUCAAAAACAGAGCAAGUGCUCUGUUUGUUGAUUCUAUAUAUUAGAUUACAUAUAUGAUCCUCCUCCUCCUUUUACAGUGGAUGCAAGGGAAUAUAUAUAGAGGAGUUUUUCCAACCUUCCUAGCUAAGAAAUCUUGUGGUUGGUGGCUUACAAGGAGAAGAAUGGAAAUUUAUACAAAAAUAUCUGAAGAAAAGAUCUAAAAGAGUCGGUGCACAAAUAUCAGGAAGCACUAAGGACAUUUCGCAGGUGAAAAUGGUGUCUGCGAGAUUUCGCAGACACUCAAGAGGGCUGCGAAAUAUUUUCGCAACAACAAGUUAAACUCGCAGGGCUGCGAAAUUGGCUUCCACCUUGAGGUUCUCAGAGUUCCAGCUUGCGGCAUGUAUCGGGUAGCUUCAGGAGGAAUUCCAUAGCACUGUACAAAAAGGCUGCGAAAUUCUCCCAACAAAAGGCUGAUUUCGCAACACUUUGGAGUGAUCUGCUUGCAAUGGCUGUAACUCCUUCGUUUCAACUCCGAAUUGAGCACCGUUUGAAGCAUUGGAUUCUUGACUUCCUGAGCUUUGAAAUGGUAUAUAGAAUGUAGAAAAUGGACUUGGGGAAGUGCUCCAAAAGUGCGCAUGAAGACUGCAGCUGCUUGUCCUCUGUUUUCUUCACUCUGUUUUUCCUUUCUCCUUGCUUCUCUCCUUGCAUACUUUGAACGACUAUGGCAAAGGGAUAUGGGGCUCCAAAGCUUGGUUCUUCAUGAAUUUGAGCUCUUCAUUGCUUUGCCAUGGAUUCCAAAUAACUCUCCUCAAUCUUGGAUUGUUUUGGUAAUCAAAUUACUAACAAAAACACCAAAACUUACACAAUUUGAUUAGAAAUGAUUGCAAGGGUCCUUAACAUGUUAAUUGAGUUAAAAGGCAAUAACUACUACUCAAAAGUGUUUAAAAGGAUUAAUUACAAGCUAUGAAAUUGCACUUUUUGAGUAGUAAUCAGCCUACAUUCUAAACACCAACUUUUUUCACAAUAGGUGGAGCCUACAUUCUAUAUAAACAUCUACUUUUUUUUUUUUUUUUUGCAAUAUGUGGUACCUUAUCAAGGUGCAAAAGAAUCAAUUGGUGAGAAAAAUUUGUAAUUCAAUCAAAUCAAUUCCACGGGCCUCAAAAAAUGAGAAAUAAUAUUGAUGAUAUGACAAUGAUGAAAGCCUCCAUCAAGUUGAUGACGAAAGAGUCAAAGCCUCGAUCAAGGAAGGCAGCUGAGUGUAGCAUGCAUGAACCAACAAUGAACUCUGGUUUAACAUUCAGUUAUGAACAAUAACAGGAACUUUGAUUUACCUUUUUGCUAUGAACAAUUUCAGGAGUUGUCAACUCUGGUUUAAUAUUCUGUUAUGUGGAGAAACCUCCUUAAGAUGUUUUCACUGUUGUUUACACGGAGGGGCACAAGUAAUUAACACUGCAUUUCUUUGGAAAAGGCGAAGCCCAAGGGAUACAAUUGGGAGUGGAUGAGUAAAACGGGGAAACCAAAUUUGCCCAACCCAACCAGAAAAACUACUGUAGCAGUUAUGUAUACAGAAAGAGCAUUUAUAUGUACAGAAAGAAAAGACGCCCAAACCCCUUCAUUUGAUGCCUUGUGCAACAGAUGCGGAUUUGGAUAUCUGCUCCCAAAAUGGAGAAUAUUGGUGAUUGAAGUAAUGUGCUGAAUAUUGUUAUUAGAAUGGGAUGAUAUGUCAUUUUGAAGGUGAUGGGGUUUUGGUUAGUUGUUUGUCACGAGCGCUCUGAGGCUAGUGGAUGUAGGUGGCAUUAAUUGUGGGUUGGUGUGGUUGUGUUGUUGGUGGGGAUUGAAAUGCUUAAAUAUUGAUUCAAUCACUAUGGAGAGAUUUUGAUAUAUUUUUUAUAUGAAAGAAAGUGAAAGCAUUUAUCAGGUUUCCUCUUGAGCUUUAGAGAUCUUUAAUCAAAUUAGAAGCCUUAGAUAUAUUUUUUUUUUAUGAAAGAAAGUGAAAGCAUUUAUCAGGUUUCCUCUUGAGCUUUAGAGAUCAUUAAUCAAAUUAGAAGCCUUAGUAAUGAUAUUCAGGAAAAAUAAAAAGUAUUGUUUCUAAGAAGGUUGUCAAAAAAGUUUGAUAAUGUAGUUGCUGCAAUUAAAGAAUAUUCCAAAGAUUUCUUAAGAACUAGAAUUAAUGGAGCCACUUAAAACCACAUGAGCAAAGAAUCAACAAGUAUUCCAUUUCACCUAUGGACUAAGCUUUUCAAUCAAAAAGCAAUGUUGCUGAUAACAAAGGUUUUAGGCAAAGAAAGUAAAAGGACGGGGGUUUUGGUAAUGGGCCUAUCUAAGGCCCUCCUCUGUGUCUUCAAAGUUGGUCUAGUUUGGGGCCAGGAUUAAAACUUGGCUAGCGUGAAUGGCCCAAGAAGAAAAAUGGCAAAGUAAGAUGUAGAAGAGCUAACCAUGAGGAGUAGUCGGGAUAGUUAGUGCUUGGAGUUGUAACUACUUAAAAUGGCAAAGAGAGAAUCAAUGAGGAGGAAAAUGCCCCCAUAGACUCUGCACCUAUCGAUAGAUGAAGGGUAUAUCAAUGCAACUAGCUAGGCCAUCACCAAGAGAGAGGUAAGAAAGAACAAUAAGAAAUACUCUUUUUUUAUAAAAUAAAUAUAAAAAAAACCAACUAACUUAACUAUUGGAGAAGCUUAUCCCAGGGCUAUAUCGGGUAAGCCAUGCGUUGCAAGUAAAAAACGCACAACAAGUAGAGGAUUAUAGCUUAAGAAAUUUUCAACUCCAACAAGUGGCGUCGUUUGUGGGAAGUUUCUAUGUUGAAGUAUAGCUUUCACUUUGAACUUGACGUAGAACCCUUUUCUUUUUGUCUGGAGUUGGAAGUUAGACAAUGGAAGACACUUAGUUGUGGGAUUCAAUUAGUAUGACAAUCCCCCGGAGGGCCACUACCUCAAAAACUCUUUGCGAGGGUUUUGAAAGAUUCUAGGUGGAGCAGGAAAGGAGAAUGGAAUCCAUCCUUGCUCAAACUGAGUUGCUAAGGCAAGAAAAUGCCUUGUUGUAGAAACAACUAGAAGAUCAGUAGGUUCACAUUCAAAUGUUGCAUCAACCAGCAAGCAAUCUUGAUCAUAUACGCCAACAAGAUAAUGAUGACAUGGUGGAGCCUUUAGAUCAUGCAGUUCCCCUUGGUCAAGCUCCUCACACCAUUUUAAACUCGCAUGGGGGACAUCGCCCAUUUGACGCUAGGAUUCCAAGAAUGUUGGUCACUGAAAGAGUCAAUGAGGUAGACAACACCUCUCGGUGGGGACCCCAACACCCAUUAUAUUCAAACUCAAGUAGCCGACAACAAAUGAGAUUACCCUAGGUUAAAGUCACGAGAAGGAUGGCUUGACCCCUGUCUUUAGCAGUUUGGCUCCCUCAGGAACAUCCAAAUGAAUUGCCCCUAAGGGCCACAACUUGCCACUUGACAGAUAUGAUGACAACGUCAUUUGAUCAACAUAUUCUGAUGUAUGAACCCCCAAGAGGGUACACCAUUCCUAAGUUCGCCAUGUAUGAUUGUACAUAUGAUCCAUUCAACCAUUUAAUGCAUUAUCGAAAAAUGAUGACGCUAGAUAUCGGCAAUGAUGAACUCCCUUUGUAAGGUGUUCCCAACUAGUUUCCAGGGCACUACCCUAGCUUGGUUUCACAAGUUUUCCCCUAAUUCUAUUCACUCCUUUAGGGAGAUGUCAGAAGUCUUCGUAGCGCACUAUCUGUGCUUAGCAAGGCAAAAGUUUAACAUAAGUAGUCUUUAGAACCUGAAUAAAACAAAAAGUGAGACUUUGGGUCAAUUCAUGCACAAAUUCAACCAAACAAUGCUCCAGAUAGAAAAAUGCAAUAUGGAUGCUUUACUACAAGCAUUCAAACGCAACAUUGGCCUUGGGACUCCAUUAUUUGAAUAGCUCUUGAAAAAAUCGCCAUAGAUAGUUGAUGACUUGUUUAGAAGGGCCAAUAAGUAUGCCCUGUUGGAAAAAGAUUUAUAGGUUGCUGCCAGCCCUGUUUUGGCAUCAACACAGACAACACGAGCAAGAAAAAAUGCAGGAAACAAACAUCAGGGCCCGGGUAACCCCUCAUAAGACAAGAAGUCAUGUAGGAAUAAGGAAGACCAAAGAGCACCCCGAUGGUGGACCCCACUUAGCUUGACUUAUGAAUAGUUGCUUCCCAUUAUGAGCAGUACUAGUUUGCCCGAUUUCAAGUGGUCUUUUGCUCUUUAGGGACUCAGCGCAAUGAGAUCAAACUCGGCAUUGUGAAUAUCACAAAGAACAUGAACAUACUACGGAUGAAUGCUGACACUUUCGUUAUUUGGUGGAGGAAUGGUGAGAGUCGGCUUGAUCUCCCACUAUGUCGAGAAAAGUGAACGAUCGACCAUUGGGAGUAACAAGCAAGCUGCAGUUGUCAUGGUUUAGCCAGGUGGAACCUUGCCAAUCAUUCACAUCAUUCAAGGAGGGCCUAUGGAUCAAUGCUGGAAGUCAAAGCGUCGUCGACGAGCAAUGAUCUAAGAAGCAAUCGAUGUAGAGAAGAUUAGCAUGGAACAAAUUUCCUUUGUUCCAGGGACAAUGGAACCUAUGGAUGGGGUUGUCUAUUUUAACCCUUGGGAUCCGACCUUGGUAACAGUGCCCCAUGAAGAUGCCCUUGUCUUGUCACUCAAAAUUGCUAGAUUCCAAGUCUGUCGGGUAUUAGUUGAUCCUGGCAGUUCAGUUGAUUUUCUCCACAUCUCAACUUAUAAGUAGAUGGGCAUCCCAAUUUAUACUUUAGGAAGCCCAGACUAAGUACUAACAGACUUCAAUAGCUUAACAUCCCGAUCUUUGGGGGAAAUAAUUUUGCUAGUAGAAGCCAGCCUUACAGCCCUAAAUGCCUGUUUUUUAGUCAUAUUAAAUCCUUUGCCUUAUAACACUAUACUGGGAAUAAAAUGGAUUCACAAAAUGAAAGCUACCCCAUCAACUUAUCACCAAAAAGUCAGUUUCCUUAGAAAAACGGGACAUGUUGAUCUAUUUGGAAGCUAACUAGCAGCAAGGCAAUGUUAUCAGGUAAAUGUUAGGCUUGUAGGAGAGGAAAUCGAAAGUGUUUGCACUGACAGCGAGGCCCAACAGAAAUAACAAUUACUAAAAAAAGGGGGAUGAGCAAGAGCCUCCAGUCGUUGACCCACUCGUUUGCACAGAAAUACAAAAUAGGGGACCAUAUAGAGUUACUUAUGUUAGCUUUAUCCUGACAGAUCAAGAGAAAUAGCUAUUAGUAAACCAACUAGAUAUGAAUCCCAUACUUUUUGCUUGGAAGUUUUCUGACAUGUGAGGAAUAUCUCCUGAAGUGAUUAGCCAUAAACUCGGGAUCCACCUAGAAUCAAAGCCUGUUUAUCAUAAAGUAAGGAAACUCAAUUAAAAAAAGUAGUAGAUAGUUCAGCAUGAAAUAUCCCGAUUGCUCGAUGCGGGAUUCAUUCGAGAGGCUAGCUAAUGUAGUAGUUGUGCCAAAAUAAAAAAAAGGCAAGUGGAGGGUUUGUAUUGAUUUUACUAACCUAAGGGAGGUGUGCCCAAAAGAUAGUUUCCUUUUACCACACAUUGAUCAAACAGUUGAUGCCACUUCAGGGCAUAAAAUGUUGUCAUUUAUGGACGUCUUUUCUGGCUAUAAUCAGAUUCCCAUAUAUCUUCUUGAUUCAGAAAAGACAACAUUAAUAACCCAUUUCAGAACUUUUUGUUACAAUGUUAUGUCUUUCAACCUUAGAAUGCAGGAGCCACUUAUCAGCGACUCAUGACAAAGAUAUUCUAUCUAAUGUUAGGCAAAACAACGAAAGUUUAUAUAGACGAUAUACUUGUAAAAAGCUAGAAACGGGAGGAUCACUACACAAAUUUACAACAAGCUUUUAACUUAUUGUCGCACUUUGGGAUGAAGUUAAAUCCAACUAAAUGUGCAUUUGAUGUAUCUGUUGGUAAGUUUUUGGGUUUCCUAGUCAUAGUGUGUGGUAUAGAGAUAGAUCCUGCUCAAAUAAAGAAAGUACAAGAGUUACCUUUUCCACGUAAUAAAAAAGAAAUACAACAUUUAACAGGAAAAAUGGUGGAAAUAGCCCGUUUUAUCUCCCAAUACACUGACCACCCGAAGCCUUUCUUUAAUGUAAUAAAGAAAAUCAAGAUCUUUGAAUGGAUGGUGGAGCACAAGGAGACGCUCUUAGUUAUAAAGAACCAUUUGGUUUCGCCCCCAAUCUUAAAAAGUCCUCAACUGGGAAAUCCCCUAUUUUUGUAUCUAGCAACAUCAAAAUUGGCAAUUUGUGCGGUUUUGCUUAAGUUGGGCCUUAAUGGAAGUCAAUUACCAGUCUAUUAUGUCAAUAAGGCGAUGCUAUAGGCUGAGCAAAACUAUACCCUACUAGAAAAUGUGGCGUUGGCCUUGCGAGUGAUCUCAAAGAAGUUGUGCCCCUACUUUCAGGUGCGUCAGGUGAAUGUUUUAUCUAAUGUCAUUUUUCGAGCUAUCUUACAUAGGCCUGAGUUGUUCGAGCAACUAGUAAAAUGGGCCACAUAGUUGAGUGAAUUUGGUUUGCGGUAUUUACCCCAUUUGUCACUAAAAUGAUAAGUCUUAACAGACUUUAUUAUUGAAUAGCCAGAUUUUGAAGUCGCUCAGACCAAAUGUCAAUGGAAUACUGGAUUCUCUAUGUUGAUGGAGCGUCAUGUGGCGUAAGAACGGGAAUAAGGCUUGUCCUGCAAUCCCCCAUAGGAGAAUGCUUGGAAUAGGCAGUUCGGAUGGGUUUUUGCACUUCAAACAACAAGGCCGAGUAUGAAGCCGUGCUUUUCAACAUAGGCCUGGCAUUGUCAAUCCAAGCUAGCCACCUCGAUAUAUGGAGUGACUCACAGCUAGUGGUAAACCAAGUGCAAAGCGAUGAUGAAUCAAGAGAUGUUAGAAUGAUGAGGUAUCUUGAUAAAGUUAAGCUUUAGCUUCAAAAAUUCAAUGAGUGGAAGAUGACUCAGAUCACUAGGGAAGAGAAUGCUCGGGUAGAUGCAUUAGUCGAGGUAGCAAUUUCCUUAGCAGUUAUGCAAAUAGUAACUUUGCCCAUUUAUUAUCAAGACAAUCCAUCAAUACUAGAAAAAGGCCAGGUAAGUCAGGUGUAUGAUGCCCAAGAAAGUUGGAUGGGACCGAUUAUUAAGUAUUUGGAAGUAGGGGAACUCCUAGAGGAUGAGCAUCAAGUGGAAUAACCACACUGGUCAAGGUCUGAUGCAACCAAGUCCUUCCUAGUUUCUCCUUUAUGAGGUGUUGAAGGUAUUUCCCAUCAUACUUGGGCCCAACUAUUGAUCUCAAUAUGUUCAUGAUCCAGCCAAAAAUACCCCUGCCAUUAAACAAAUUUUUUUUUUGUUAGUUACCAUAUGAAAUUCCAAAACAAGACAUAAUCCUAGGUUUUCACAUGCUCUAAUAUUGUUAAUGUUACCAUACACAAUUUAGGAAUCAUAUUGGCUGUACAUAUAGGAAUGUUAAUGUUACCAUAUACAAUUUAGGAAUCAUAUUGGUUGUACACAUAGGAAAAGAUUGACAGAUUGGCUUACCAUGUAUUUGUAAAUGUUACCAUAUACAAUUUAGGAAUCAGUUAGACUCCAUGUAUAGAAUAUAUAUCAGUAUAUAGAUGGAUGUAGUGAAAUAUAAAAAAAACUAAUCAGAGUUAUCAGAGCAAGGCUUCAACACCUUCUGAGUGGAGUUCGUGAUCUUCUACCAAUCAAAUGCUUGGCAUCGAAAACAGUGUUGAUCGGGUUCAUCGCGACCUAGUUCUUGGUCGUUUCUGUUCCAAUUCUCUUGUCGGCUAUUUCCAUUGUCUCUUGGUUGCAUCAUGUCAUCAAAUAAGUUGGAAUCAUUUCCUAUUAGAUUUACUGGAAAAAAUUAUUGUGCUUGGGAGUUUCAAUUUAAAUUAUUUGUCAAAGGAAAAGAAUUAUGGGGUCAUAUUGAUGGGAGUAAUCUUGGACCUCGUGAUGCCAAGGCUUUGUCUAAGUGGGAAAUUGAGGAUGCUCGGGUUAUGACUUGGAUCCUUAGAUUGGUUGAACCUCACCUUGUUCUCAAUUUGAGGCCUUAUAAAACUAUUGCUGCUAUGUGGAAUUAUCUCCACAUGGUUUACAAUCAAGACAACUCUGCUAGGCGUUUUCAAUUGGAGUAUGCGAUGGCUAAUUUCACACAAGGAAGUCUCUCAAUUGAGGAAUAUUUUUCUGGUUUUCAAACUCUUUGGAUUGAUUAUUCCGACAUUGUUUUCGCUAAUGUUCUCGCUACAACUCUCUUUGUUGUCCAAGCAGUGCAUGUAACCAACAAGCGAGAUCAAUUCUUGAUGAAGCUACGACCCAACUUUGAAAUUGCACGGUCUAAUAUGAUGAAUCGUCAUCCUGUACCAUCUCUGGAUGCCUGCUCGAGUGAACUUAUGCGUGAGGAGUAGCGUAUCAUAACUCAAGCUACCAUGGAACAUCGUGUAGUGCACAUGUUUCAGUGGCUUAUGCAGCACAGGGGCGGAAUAAGGGUUGAGACAUGCGUGUUGUCCAGUGCUUUAGUUGUAAAGAUUUUGGUCACAUUGCUUGGGAUUGUCCCAAGAAGUUCUGUAACUAUUGCAAGAAACAAGGUCAUAUCAUCUCUGCUUGUCCCAUUCAGCCUGAAAGGAAGCAGGGUACUGCUUAUCAUGCCUCCACCUAUGUCUCUAGUUUUGCUGCAUUGCCUGCUGCCUCGUCGGUUGUUCCUAUUCCUACUCCUACAGUCUUAGCAAACCCGAAUACACUCACUCCUGAAAUGGUUCAACAAAUGAUCAUUUCUGUUUUUGGGCUCUUAGGUAAUCAUACGGUUUCUUCUAAGCCAUGGUAUUUUGACUCUGGAGCUUCUAACCAUAUGAUGAAUAUUGUUCUUUCUCUUUCCAAUCUCAAAAAUAAUGAUGGAAAUAUGAAAAUUAACAUUGUUGAUGGCAGUUCUUUGCCUAUCAGUACUGUUGGUGAUCUUUCCUCUUCCUUAACUGAUGUUUUUGUGUCUCCUAACCUCUCCACAAAUCUUAUUUCUAUUGGUCAAUUGGUUGAUAAUAAUUGUAAUGUCAAUUUAUCCCAUUUUGGUUGUGUUGUGCAGCAUCAAGUGUCCGAGAAGAUGAUCGCGAAGGGGCCUAAAGUUGGACGACUCUUUCCUCUUCAUGUUUCUACUUCCACUAUUAUUCCUAGUUUUCCUUUACUUUCCUUUGCAUGUAAUGUUGUUGGUUCUGGACAUAAGAUGUGGCAUAAACGUCUUUGCCACCCAAACUCUCAUGUACUUCAUACUUUGUUUAAUUUUAGAUUAUUGGGAAAUAAAGCAUGUUCUUCUCUUAAUCAUUCUUUCGAUUGUACGUCAUGCAAACUUGGCAAAAGUAAAGUUCUACCUUUUCCUCAUUCCACAUCUCGUGCCUCACAAUGUUUUGAUAUUAUACAUAGUGAUGUUUGGGGGAUUGCACCUAUUGUUUCUCAUGCACAUUACAAGUACUUUGUUGCUUUCAUUGAUGACUUUAGUCGCUUUACUUAAGUUUAAUUCCUCUGGGCUAAGGCUGAAGUUUUUUCAAUCUUUAAGUGCUUUCUUGCACUUAUUGAGACUCAAUUAUUUACUAGCAUCAAGGUCUUGCGCUCUGAUUCUAGCAGAGAAUACAUGUCUAACGAGUUUCAGGACUUUUUUCAAAGCAAAGGGAUCAUCUCUCAACGUUCUUGUCCUUCGACACCACAACAAAAUGGUGUUGUUGAGAAGAAAAAUCGCCACCUUCUUGAUGUGGUAAGAACUUUUUUACUUUACUCAUUGGUUCCUCCUCGUUUUUGGUGUGAAACACUUUCUACUAUAAUUCAUUUGAUCAAUCGCUUACUGAUUCAUGCCCAAUUGGUGUCUCAGCUGAUUCGUGUUCAGCUGGUGCUCCUUGAUUGAGGAAGUGAUCAACAAAAUUUAUUACCUAUAACACCAUACACUAGGGUAGCAAAGAAAAAGCUACUAUAGUAUAGUGGCUCUAGGGUCGUUCACUGGGAAUGACUAACAAGCAAUCAAUGAUACCAAUUCCAAGUGAAUUGGUCUUGUUUCAUUUCAAGGUUAGCUUAAGAAAUAAAACACAAACUUUGAUUGGUAAAGGUUGAGACUUAAACUAACUAACUUAACAGAAGUUUGGAAUAAUUUAGGAAGAAAAGCAUUCCUUGGAGAUUUAGGUUCACUGGGGUGGUUCCUCAUGCAAAAGACACGGCUUUGGUCAGAUGGUUGAUUUCCUCGCAUUAGAGAUUCAACAUAUAGUCAAUUCUCUAACCGGCGAUGUACAGAGACUCCUUCAAUUAGAUUUCACUUUAAUUCUCUCACUGAUGCAACUUGCAAUGGUUUAAGCCUCUCACUAAGCCUUAGCCAUUCAAGGUGAUCUUUAACCUUGGAUUACCCGUCAAAAGCUCGUAAGAGAUAACUAAUGGAUGUCUCCUAGGAGUCCAAAAGCUUAUCAAGUGUUGGCUAUUCUAGAAAAUCCUACCCUGAAGUCACCUACCAGAGGCUCGCAAGGGGUAAACUAGUGCAUUUCCAUGGUUGGAAAUCACUUGCCUUACCAAGUGUUGGCCCAGGUGACUCCAAAGUGUUUUAAGUUAACUAAAAACAUAGAAAUCACUAAAGGAUUUCACUUCCUCUUCAUUACUAGCUAAAACCACAAAGCUUUGCAUUCUUGCACUUGGAACCUUCCCCGACAACCUUAGCUCCAAGGAAUUAGAGGUUUAGUUACUCAUUCUUUGGGGAAAACUCCUCAGAGAAUUCAUAACUUAGAAAUAAAAUGAAAAUACAAAGUGAGAAGGUAAGGCAGUAGAAAGAAAAGAUCUUUACUUGCUUACCCAAACGUUUUCAGAAGGAACUCCUCUCUGAGAACAGGCUCCCGAGAGGUAUAUAUAUCAAACCAAUAUAAAACUAAUUGUUACAAAGAUAUUUAGUCUUUUUACUAACUUAAAAACUAAGGAAUCAUGUAAUUGGUGGUUUACAAGGAGUAUUUUGGGAUUUAGACAACAAAAAUCUAAAGGAAAAUAUCUCCCAAUGUCGGUAGCAAGUUUCGGGAGGCUUCAGGAACCAUUUCGCAGGAGAAAAAUGGUGUCUGCAAAAUUUCGCAGACACCUAAGAGGGCUGCGAAGUUGGCUUCCACCUUGAGGUUCCCAGCUCCCUUCUCGCGGCAUGGUUCGUGCAUCGUCAGAAGAAGAAACACCUUACUGUACAAAAAUGCUGCGAAAUUCUCGCAACAAAAGGCUGAUUCCGUAGCACUUUAGAGUGAUUGACUUGCAGUGGCUGUAACUUCUUCGUUUCAACUCCGAAUCGCACACCAUUUGAAGCAUUGGAUUUUUGACUUCCUGAGCUUUGAAAUGGUAUAUAGCAUGCAUCAUUUGGACUUCAGAAAGUGCUCCAAAAGUGGCUGCUACGACUGUCAUCAAGAAUAGGCUUCAUGGCAGAUUCUCUUUGCUUUUUCUCCUUGCAAUCCGGAUUCACUCUUGGCAAAUGAAUUCUCAACUUUGCCCAAGAUUCCUCAUAGCUCUCCUCAGUCUUGACUUGCUUUGGUGAUCAAAAUACUAACAAAAACACCAAAACUUACACAAAGUGAUUAAAAUUGCUUUAAAGGAUCCUUAACAUGCCAAUUGAGUUAAAAGGCCUAAACUACUACUCAAAAGUGAUAAAAAAGAUUAAUUAAAGGCUAUCAAAUAGCACUUUUUGAGUAGUAAUCACUUACUCUCUCCUAUGUUAAAUCAUGUAUUUCUUUUCUCUAAGUUGUUUGGUCAUUCUCUUUUAUAUUCUGAUCUUCAUACAUUUGGUUGUGUUUGUUUUGUGCAUCUACCUACUCAUGAACGACAUAAACUUACUGCUCAGUCUGUUCAGUGUGCUUUUCUUGGUUAUGCUAUCCCUCACAAGGGUUAUGUUUGUUAUGAUCCCCAUGCUCGUUGUAUACAAGUUUCCCGGAAUAUUUCUCUCCAUCUCAUGUUGAGCUACCAUCUACAUCUGUAUCUCUUCUGCCUAGUUUUUCUGAAUCCCCAACAAUUGUGGGAAUGUUUAAACCUGGUUUUUUUGUAUGAAAGAUGUAGCCGACAUGAGUCCGGUUCCACUUUCUCUAUGUCCUCUUCCGAUGACCCAACGCCUGAUCCUGCUCCUGCUUCCACCACUCUUCGUCGGUCUAAUCAUCUUUCUCAACCCCUUGAUUAGUAUGGAUUCUUCUCUCCUGUCUCUCUUGUUGCUACUUUAUCCACUAUUUGUAUUCCAUUUUGCUACAAACAGGCCAUGGAACAUAAGUGUUGGCAAAAUGCAAUGCAAGUAGAACUUCAAGCACUUGAGAAGAAUCAUACUUGGGAUAUUGUUCCUUGUUCUCCUACAGUCAAACCUAUUGGGAGUAAAUGGGUUUUCUCUAUAAAAAUUUGUUCUGAUGGCUCUUUAGACCGGUAUAAAGCUCACCUCAUGGCUUUGGGUAACAAGCAGGAAUAUAGGGUUGAUUAUGAGGGGACAUUUGCUCCUGUUGCUAAAAUGACCACGGUUCAAACCAUCUUAGCUAUUGCCUCUUCACAGUCAUGGAAACUACAUCAGAUGGAUGUAAAGAAUGCUUUCCUUCAUGGUGAUCUCUAGGAAGAGAUUUACAUGAAGCUUCCCUCUGGUAUGAUUAAUUCUUCUCCUCAUGAUGUCUGUAAGCUAAAAUGUUCUUUGUAUGGGCUCAAGCAAGCGCCCCGGGCUUGGUUUGAGAAGUUUCGCAGUACAAUUCUUUCCUUUAGUUUUACCCAAAGUCAGUAUGAUUCUUCCCUCUUCUUCCACACGUCUGUGUUGGGUAAAGUCCUUCUCUUGGUUUAUGUGGAUAAUAUUAUCAUUACUGGCACUAACUGUGGUUUGAUUACUAAGCUUCAGCGGAUGUUAUAUACAACUUUCCAUAUGAAAGAACUUGGACAUCUCACAUACUUCUUAGGAUUGGAAGUUCAUCAUCGGGCUAGUGGUAUUUUUGUGAACCAGCAUAAGUAUAUUCAAGAUCUUAUCAUUUUAGCUAGUUUGGAGGACACUUCUUCUGUUGAUACUCCUAUGGAGGUAAAUGUCAAAUACAGGAAAGAUGAAGGGGACCUUCUAGAUGAUCCUACUCUCUAUCGACGCCUAGUUGGGAGUCUUAUCUACUUGACCACUACUUGACAUGAUAUCUCCUAUGUUGUUCAUCAGGCCAGUCAGUUUAUGACUUCUCCUUGACAUCUCCAUCUUGCUGCAGUUCGACGCAUCAUCCGCUAUCUUCGAGGUUCACCUACUCGUGGGUUAUUCUUUCCUACUGGCUCCUCUCUUCAACUUGUUGCCUAUAGUGAUGUUGAUUAGGCUAGGUGUCUAGAUACACGUCGAUCUACUACAGGUUGGUGUAUGUUUUUAGGUGAUGCCUUAAUUUCUUGAAGAUGUAAGAAACAAGAUUGUGUUUCUAAAUCCUCUACUGAGGUUGAGUAUCAUGCCAUGUCUAUUGCUUGUUAUGAAAUUAUAUGGCUACGCGGUCUUCUUGAGGAGCUUGGGUUUCCUCAAACUACUUCUACACUUCCUCAUGCUGAUAACACUAGUGCUAUUCAGAUUGCCACCAAUCCUAUUUUUCAUGAACUUACCAAGCACAUUGAGGUUGAUUGUCAUUCUAUUUGAGACACCUUGGAAAGUCGGGUGAUAUCGUCACCAAAGCUUUGACUCAACAGCGGCAUCAAUUUCUUGUUGUCAAAUUGUUGCUGGUUGACUUACCGGCAUUAAUUUGAGGGGGGAUGUUAAUGUUACCAUUACAAUUUAGGAAUCAUAUCAACCAUACAUAUAGGAAUGUUAAUGUUUCCAUAUACAAUUUAGGAAUCAUAUUGGCUAUACAUAUAGGAAAAGAUUGACGGAUUGGCUUACCAUGUAUUUGUUAAUGUUACCAUAUACAAUUUAGGAAUCAGUUAGACUUCGUAUAUUGGAUAUAUAUCAGUAUAUAGAUGGAUGCAGUGAAAUAUUAAAAAAACUGAUCAGAGUUAUCCGUUUCUGUGGAGUUUUUUUUUUUAGUAUUUUGACAUUUAUAUGAAUCAAUCUUUAAAAGAGAAGCAAGAACAAUUGAGUAUCAAAUAUUAACUUCUCUGUGGAAAUAUUUUAGGGCCAUGCUCAAGAUAAAAGGGCUUGAUGUCUUGGGCUGCAAAUAGAGGACAUCUCAGAUCAUUCGGAGCAAACCGUUUAAGAAUUAAACCAAUUACGAACCGCCCAAACCGGCGGACCGGUGACCUGGUGGAAUUGGACGGUUCAAAUCAAACCGAACAGUUCUAGUUGGACCACCAUUUUAAAGGCUCCCUUGGAUAAAAAGAUUCGGCAAAAGCCCAUGCUAGGCCUUGUCUCAUAAUGACAAAGCCCAUACCCCACUCAACCAUAUUGUGGGCUAAGGCUUGAGCCCACCAGAUGAGGCAAUGCAUUGGCCCUCAAUAUGGAUAGCUUUUAUAGGCAUCCUUUGCAUCCUCAUUUCUCUUACAAUCCGAUGUGGGAUUGCUAACCAACCUAAUCAAUGAAAAAAAAAAAUAACUAGUCCCACCCAAGAGGAUUUGAACCUUGGACCCCAAAUUCUAUAGCCAUCCUAGGACACCACUCAGGUACAUAGUUUUUGUUAUCUAAUAUGCCAAACAAAAUAAUAUAUAUUAUUUUUUUGUAAUAUUAAAUAAAAAUAAUAUAAUAUUUUAAAAAAUUAUAAAAUUAGUUUAAAUUUUCAUUUUUAAUAUAUUCACAUUUAAAUAUUUUGCAUAUUUCAUUUAAUAAAAUUAAAAAUAUCAAUAUGAUUUAAUUUGAUAAUAUUAUUGAUUUUUAAUUUAUUCAUUUAUAAUUUAAAUUUUUUAUAAUUAUUUUUAAUUUUAAUAAUAUAUAAAUUAUAUAUUUAUUACGUCACCGGUCCGAUCGCCGGUCCGACCAGUGAACCGUGAACGGGUAAUUUUUCUAGUUCGAUCACCGGUCCGAUUCUGAAAACAUUGGUAACCACACUUUCCUAUAUUUUUUGAAGACUCAAUUUUCUCGCGUGAAGACUUUAUGAUUGACGAGUAGGUAAUGUGAUAUGCUGAUGAAGUCAGCUUCUAGCACAGAUCCCCAUUAAUAGGAUAUUGUUGAAUUGGAGAAUGUUUCCACACGCUCAAAAUGGGGUGUUUUUUUAGCAUCAAGAAAUUGUCGUCUUCAUUAGCUUGUUGGAAUUGGGAUGUAUGACUGAUGACUUGUUAGGAUUUAUCUGAAAAUAAAGUCCAAGCUCUGUCUCUGUCUCUCUCUCUCUCUCUUAUAAGGACAGUGAUGAUGGUCCAAAGAAGAAUUCCGAAGCAUGCAGAGAUUCAGAACUGCAAGUAAUUACACACAGAGUGAAGGCGGCUGGCCAGAUUUAACAUGAGAAAAUCAUGAUUAAUACAUGAUUCUUCACCAAUAAUUGAGUUGAAUGAGUCUACUAUUCAAAUCACAUUGUUAAAAAGAAAAACAGAUAAUAAAGAUUCAAAUCACAUUAUUAAUGAGUGGGCCGGUCUCAUUUAAGAACACGAUUUGACAUGCAAAAUUAAUGGAUCCAUCCAUAUACAACAUCUACCACAACUCAUGAGAAGAAAUUCUGGUUGUUCUAAUAAUUCACCAUUUUUCUUCAUGGAAUUAGUUAUGAAAUAGUCCCAAUUUAGUACUAUUAGAGAGAGUAUCAAGGAAAAUAUUUGGUAGGUGGGCGGUGAAUCAAGUUAAUUAGAUGGUGAAGAAAAACUAAUGAGAGAUGAACUUAAUCAACAAGUUGUACCUCUUUUUUCUGUAUAAUAUGCUAGUUAAUCCAACUGUGUUAGACAUUGCUGCUACUUACAAGUUAUUUUACUUUAUUAUUCAUUUUUUAAUGUUGGGGGAGGUACUGUCGUUUCAUUGAAAACGAUGUUGUAUUACUUGGCAAACAAAGAUGGUGGUAAGUUUAGAAUAAUGCAAUAUAUGAUUUGCAUGCUUUAUUCCUUGGUAAUACUAUGAUUUUUACUAUAAUCCAACUGUGUUAGACAUUUCUGCUACUUAUAAUUGCCGAACAAAAGGUAAUAACUCUUGCUUGAAAUCAAAUUAAUUCCUGAUAUUCCUUUAUUUUUUAUAUGUACACAAAAUGGCCUUCAUCAUAAGUGCUCUGCAAACGAACUGUGUGCUCCUUGAAUGUGGAGAUAUGGCUGCUCCCACGAAGUUUCCAUACCACAUUUUGAAGUAUAGCUAGUUCUCGUUCUGAUAUUAAUCCACACUAAUGCUGGAAGCUUCCAAAACUGCAUAAUACCAUGUUUUCCAUCUUCUUUUUUUUCCCCUGUAUAUACACAUUAUAACGUCCAUGUUACAUGGUUAAUAACCAAAGAAAGAUAAAUUAAUGAACAUGCAAAUGAAUGCUCAUGCUUACAAGAUGAUUGUUUUGAUCUUCUAUGAUAGUGAAACGACGUUGAUCUCUUCUAUAUAUAUAUAAUUAGUACAACUAACAGUCUGCAUCCUUCUAUUCUUGUAUUUGUGUACUGGGGACAAAUCGUUCUUUGUAUUUGUGUACAAGGGACAAAUCAAAUCAUGAGGAUCACAUGACAACACGGCACCAUGCUCAUCACAAAUGUUGUUCAUUUGCUAGCUCAUGAAACAUAUGGUGUGGGCAACCAGGACAAAUCAACUAAUCAUAACAUGCACGACAUUAUGUUCAUGAAACAUAUGCUAAAUAUGGUGUAAUAAACUUUAAAAAAAAAAUUAGAGAAAGAGCGUACGUAAGGGAAACAAAAAAAAAAAAAAAAAAAAAAAAACUAAUUAAAAACAUGAUGAAGAUGACAAGAUGGUGAAAGAGAUUUUUCACCAAACAUUUGAUUAUUAACUAUAGAAACAUUUGACUAUGUAACACUGCUACCUUUUUUUAAUAUUGGGGUAGGUACUGUCUUUCAUUGAAAAUGAUGUUGUAUUACUUGGCAAACAAAGAUGGUGGUAAGUUUUGAAUAAUGCAAUAAAUGAUUUGCAUGCUUUAUUCCUUGGUAAUAUUAUGAUUUUUUACAAAAAUAUUCUUUAAUUGACUUGGGCAGUGUCGGGUCCAGAAAGGCUGCAUCAGUGCCUAGUGAUUCUCAAUCAGAUGUAUAUCUGGACCAUUAGGGAACCAAGAUAAUAUUUUUGAUUGUGUCGCUGUUGUCCUUUAAAACUAUUUAUCCUUGCAUCUAAAUUAAUAAUUUGUUUUCUCAUGCUUGUAGUUUUUGAAAUAAAGUUAAUUCAGGUAGACCAGUUUUUAAUCAGACCUCAAUGCAACAUAUCUUCCCAUCCUACCCAAGAGAAGCUACUGAAAGCUCCUAUGACUGAAGAGAGACAACAAGGAUUCUAUCCUUUUGGAUCGACCUAGCACUAUCUUUUAGAUUCUAUCCAUCUAUUUGUUCUCAUCUUAUUUCUGGGAAGUUCUGUGUUACCCUAAUUAUCAUAUAUAUAUAUAUAUAUAUAUAUAUAUAUAUAUGUUUCAACCCAUCUCAGUGUCUCUUGUAGAUUUAUAAAGGAUAAGUAUUAUUUCUAGUCCAUUCUAAUUAAUUGCCAUUCCCAUAAUUUAAGUUGAUACAAAAUUAGAACUUAUUCAAGCAAAUAAUGGAAAUAAUUCAAUCUAGCUUGUCAUUAAAAUGUUGUGAGAAAUAGAGGUCGCAUUAAAUCACAAUGAGUUUGAAUUGCAUAGACGCACGCACAAAAUCAGAACCAUACAAGAAAUUCAGUGGAAUCAAUGGACUUACAAUACCUUAAUACUAGAAACGCUUAAAUUGGUUAUUAAACAUAUCCCAUUUGGGAUUUAUUUUUACAAUAAGAAUAGUGAAUUAAAAGGCAGACAUUCAGAAACGGGACUCCAACUUAACUAGAAAUUCAUUACAACAGUAGGAUUCAUUCAUAUCAGACAACGACCAAUCCUUUAGAAGCGGCAGCAUGUCCAUGUGGUGACCUAGUAUCUCUACGUUGCUUCUCUUGGGAGAGUAGUCUUGCAAAACUGAAAAAUUAGAAGGAUUUUUUAUUAUCAUAUGAUUAGUUAAUUAACUAAGAAAGCUCUAGAAUAAAACUCUAAAAAUAGUUAGAUACCUUGUGAGAGCCUCCUCAUUGGUCUCGUGAUUUGAAGGCUCAAAGAUACCUGUAUCCAGGUUAACCCUUGAGACCCUUUUCUUUAACAACUCCUCACCAAUUUUCACAAGAUCAUCCAAAUUUUCCUUUGUGGCUAUGUCGACUGAUGAUGUUAUACCGCUCAAUGUAUCAUCCUGUAUUUACCCUUUGUGUCAGUAUCAGUGGUAGACAAGGAACAGAAGAAGCUAUUGACUUUCAGAUAUUUUUAGGACUGAGGAAAUUAUGAAGAAGAACAAAAUUUAAAUAAGAAAUUUGACUUUGUGACGGUAAAUUUAUGAAACCACAAGCAGCAAAGCUGUACCUGUAUCCGAAGAUAGCUUUUUUCCGAGUGAAGGGCUUGAAAAAUCUGUGAAAGGUGUAAGUCGAUCAUAUCUCCGCUUGCUUGGGUAAACACUUUCACUAAGGGGGUGGAACCACCACUGGUCAACCAUCCCAACACACCCCACUUGGCUGCUUCAUCAGCAUUGUAUUUUUCUUCGGCUUUUGAUGACCCAGUUCCCAAGG